UGUGUGUGUGUGUGUACACACUAUGUAUACACACACACACACACACACACACACACACAGAGCAUUAUACUCAGCAACAGAAAUUAUCCACAAGAGUCCAUGCUUUAUGGUUCUAGUUUUAUGAAGUUGAUGAACAGGAGCAGUUGGCCUGUGGGGAUAGAAGUCUGGUUUGUGAUUGCCUUUCACCCGCUAAGAUGCCUCUUCAGUUUCUACCCAAAGGCUACAUAUAUAUUUAUCUCCAGGCUAUCCACAAAACAGAGAUGCAUGAUUCAUGCUUUUCAUGCCAUUGGGAAUGGACAUCCUCUUCAUAGCAGGGGUAAUACAGGAGUGUUAGUCACCAAAUGCUUAGUAAAGACUGUUAGCCAGAUGAUUUACACAAAUCAUCACAAGACCACAGUCAUCACAAGACUACAGUCUACCUUUUGUAUAAAUGCAACCCCAGAAUCUGGGAUUAUAAAAGUACUUGCUGCUUUUGCAUUCUUUGCUGGGGGACGAGCAGAGAAUGCAAAGAGGGAGAAGGGAAUUUUCUAGGGAGAUGGCAUUUCUCUGCACCUUGACUGGGGUACUGGUUCGUGUGUGUAUGUGUUGGCAAAACACCAUAGAGCUCUAUACUUAAUAUCUGUGCGGUUCAGGUAGUUAUACAUGAAUGAAAAUAAAAAGCACAGGGAGACAUAUCCUAAUGGGCAAGCCUGGUCAUAUGCUUGCAUUCAACUAUUAGAAAACUUCUUUGGUUUUUGUAGCGGGAGGUAGCGGCCAUCUGCAAAUACAAAGGGUGUUUGAAGGAAGAGCAGUCAUUCAUGGCACAGGUCCGCUAUACCAUUGGAUUCCACCUCCUGCAGCAAAAAUCAAGUGAGGACCAUGGUCGAAAGGAGAUUCCACGGGAAGAAACCAGGAGUGAACGAUUCCAGUUAGAGUGGAAGACGUGUCCCGGUUUGUCCGGGAUUUUUUCUGUGUGAGCACUCGAAGUCUUGCAUUCUGAAAAAUCCUCCAUUCCAAACCCACUGGAAUAGUUGGUCACUUUCCUUCCAGCCAAAGCUCUGUCUCCAGUUAAGUCUGAGGGAGACAUUGAGGGAUCACACUGGAGAAAGCUAACCCAGCAGAGAUCAGCUUCGAAGCUCCUGUGGGUAUGAGGUCAGUGUGCAAUAAUUUUCAUGGAUAGAGAUUCACUGGAGGUCUCCCAAGCCCCACCAUCCUAAACCACAUGAGAACCUUAUGCGUAUUCUUUCAUAAACUGUGAUCCAUUUUUCUUUUCAUACCACUCAACCUCCUAAAACCAUCAUCUCUGUGUUUUCACUCCCAUUCCCUAUAAGCCCCAUGAUGGUUGUCCUCAUGUCAGGUUUAUUCAUCAGUGUAUCUGUAGCACAUGUAAAUGGCUGUCACAAAUGCUUAAAUGAAUGAUUGAAUGAUUUUGUGAAUGAUCCAAUCCAUCAAACAUUGCUGUAGGCUUCCUUUGAAGGCCAGGAUCAUGACACAUGGACAUUUUUGAGGAUUUAAGCCACAGUCCUUUAAGCAAAACCCUUCCAGAAAGACACUUUCAUCUUUCUCAGGGGCUACAGCAACCAGUGCACAUGUAUUUAAUUAUUCACUGCCUAUUUUUAUGUUACACAAGCUCAGUUUCUCCCCCUCCAUUCUCUUUUCCUCAGUGGUGGCAAUAUGGAUAUUUAAGUUUAUUACUUAUUUUUCUAUUUCUUCCCUUUUCCUGUAGUCUCCCUCUAGAGAUGACAGUUACCUUAAACUUUCACCCACCAAGAUGCCUCUUCAGUUUCUAACCAAAGACUCCGUAUAUAUUUAUCUCUAGGCUAACCACAAAACAGAUAUGUGUGAUUCAUACUUUUCAUGUUAGUAGGAAUGGGUAUCCUAUUCAUAGCAGAGGUGAUACCAGAAUAUUAAUCACCAAAUGCUUAGUAAAUAUUGAUACGCAGAUGAUUUACACAAAUUAUCACAGGACCACAAUCAUCACAAGACUACAAUCUACCUUUUGUAUAAAUGCAGCCCAAAAAUCUUGGAUUAUAAAAGUACUUCCUUCUUUGGACUUCAGAUAAAUCUGUAGUAUCCUCAAGAGUCUUUCAAAACUUGCACUGUCUCCAGCAAAUCUUGUAGGAAGGAAAAAAAUAGAUAUCGCUUUGCAAUUUAUGUUUCUACCAGCAUGCAGUUGAGUAGAUUCAAUUGACGCCAAAUGUUUUGCACAUGCUAAUUUGUGUCCCCUAUUGUCCUCCCCUGUUGACUUCCAGUUAAUGCAUAAUAUGACGUGGGACAUCCCUCAUAAAUUCCAUAUCAUCAGAGUAAUGUGGCUUUUAAAUUAGCUCUGUCGCAAAAGGACGAUGGGGGGCCCAGGAGGUUUUGUUUUUUUUUUUUUUUUUAAUUUUCCUUCUGUUCUUGAAGUGUGAUAAGUCUAAUUAUAGUUGGCAGCAAACAGCCGUGUUUCUUCAGCUAGUAUGGCUUGUGAGGGCUGUUGGAUUGCUAUGAUAGCUUCAGAUUUGUAUAGUAGUUUCUUAGACCCAACAACUCAAGAUGGCUCCCAAGUGGGAGGAGUUCUAAAAGAUUAAAGAGAGAUGAACAACGCAGGAAGUCAGUGACAUUGAUCUGUCAUGGCCAAGUACAGUGAUGCAUUCUUGUGGCUUAUUUUGCUCAUGGGAGUUAAUUAACAAUAACAUUUUCAGAAUAUUAGAAUAAUUUGGAGAAGAGCAUAUGACAUACCUAAAUUAUGUGUAUACAAGAUAAUUUUUGUUUCUUCUAAUACUCUGCUAAUCUAAGGGGAUUCCUCCCUGUCCGUUGUCUUUUCUGGGGGGAAGAAACCAAAUGUAUAGUCGUACGUACUAUAGGAAGAACAGCUACAGCUCCUUUCGGCUCUGGUUUAGGAAACACGCUCUCAUGAACUUUCCUUCUCCUUCUCCUUCUCCAUACCAGGGCUUCUCACGCUUUCAGUGAGCACAGGGAUCAUUCUAGGAAUCUUCGUACAAUGCAUAUUCUGUUUAGUAGGUCUGGGGUGGAGCCUGAGUUGAGGCACUUCUAACAAGCUUCCCGGUGAUGCUCCUGCCGCUGGUUCUUGGUCCAUACGAUGAACAGCAAGAUUUUAGAGGGUGUUAAGCAGCAGAAGUGUAUUUGCAUGUGGAUGUCUCUGCACUAGAACUGCAUCGAGAGGAGAAAUAAAACAGCUUACAAUUCUGGGUGAAUUGGGUAGGUAUUCUUCUAGAAUAGCUACCAUAAAUUGAGCCCUGCCUGUAUUAUUUAACACUAACGACAGUACAGAGAGGCACCGAUGCUUAUCUCUGUUCCACAGCUGAGGGGCUGUAAGCUUACAGACGUUUAGGGAUGUGAUCGAGUUGCAGAGCUAACAUCCAGUGGAAUUUGAACCCAGGCAGUUUGAUUUCAGAGUCCACGCUGAAAUGCCUGUACUGCUCGUGGACUGUUACCCUGAAAUGCAGUUUAUUUGUCUGGGGUGUAAUGUCUGGAGGUUUUUGCAUUUUCAUCAUUAUAAACCUCUCGCAAAUAUUAAUUGAGUACCUAAGGCCACUCCUUAAGGGUUUUCUCUUCUUUUAUUUUAUUAUACUUUAAAUUCCGGGGUAUAUAUGCAGAACGUACAGGUUUGUUCCAUAGCUAUACAUGUGCCUUGGUGGUUUGCUGCACCUGCCUACCCAUGAUGUACAUUGGGUAUUUCUCCUAAUGCGAUCCCUUCCCUAGACCCCCACCCCACGACAGGUCCCACUGUGAGAUGUUCCCCUCCAUGAGUCCAUGUGUUCUCAUUGUUCAGCUCCCACUUAUGAGUGAGAACUUGGGAUAUUUGGUUUUCUGUUCUUGUGUUAGUUAGCUGACAAAGGUGGUUUCCAGCUUCACCCAUGUCCCUGCAAAGGAGGUGAACUCAUCCUUUUUAAUGGCUGCAUAGUAUUCCAUGGUGUAUAUGUGCCACAUUUUCUUUAUGGAGUCUACCAUUGAUGGGCAUUUGGGUUGGUUCCAAGUCUUUGCUGUUGUGCACAGUGCUGCAAUAUGUUUUGUAGCAGAUAAGAGAAGAUACUGUGGUUCCAACUGAAGACCACCGCAUAGCACUCACCGAUAGCUGAAAUUCAGGAAAGUACUUACACAUCCAGAAGGGGUGAUUUUCUUUAUGUAUAGAAAAAAAUAUAUAUUUAAAUCAUUAUCUAUAGUAAUUAGCUGAAUGGAAGAACUGGCCUAAAGAGCAGUAUUUUCUUUCUUUCUUUUCUUUUCUUUUGUAAAAAGGAUAUGUUAGGAACACUAUAGUGACUUGCAGGUUAGUUCUUUGUUUAUAUUUAUACUUUCAAACUUUUUUUUAUACAGGUAACAUUCACAUAAUAUGAAAUGUGAGUUUUAAAGAGUGCAAUUCAAGGCCAUUCAGUAGAUUCACAGUGCUGUGCAGUCAUCACCUGCGAUAAGCACAGAGAAAGAUGCUCAACGCCAUUCAUCAUUAGAGAAAUGCAAAUCAGGCCAGGCAUGGUGGCUCACACCUGAAAUCCCACCACUUUGGGAGGCCAAAACUCUUGAACACCAGAGUUUUAUACCUGCCUGGACAACACAGGGAGACCUCAUCUCUACAAAAAAUAAAAAUAAAUGAGCUGAGUGUGAUGGGACACAUCUGUGGUCCCAGCUACUUAGGAGGUGAGGUGGGAGGAUCAUUUGAGCCUCAGAGGCUGAGGCUGCAGUGAGUGGUGAUUGCACCACUCCCCUCUAGCCUGGGCAACAAGAAAGACACUAUCUCAAAGAGAGAGAGAGCACACGAGAGAGAGAGAGAGAGAGAGAGAGAGAGAGAGAGAGAGAGACAGACAGAGAGAGAGAGAGCGUGCAUUGCAAAUCAAAGCCGCGAGGAGACGACAUGUCACACCCACUAGGAGGGCAGCUGAUAUUAAUAACAGAAGGUAACAGAUGUUGUCCAGGGCGUGGAGAAACAGAAACUCUCAGGCCUUGCUGGUUGGAGUGCAAAAUGGCACGGUAGCUGUAGAAAACACUUUGGAAGUUAAACCAAGAUAAACACAGAAUUCUCACUCACUCUUGACCACUGAAUGCAUUUGCCCUUUUCCAGCUCCUGUUUUUUCUCACGGCUUCUUCCAGGGCCUCUGUCUUGAUUGCUAAUCGGUGGUUCUUCGUCCUGUAUCCAUUUAGCAGCCACUGUGAAAUGGUGCCAUACUUACUACUUUAGAUGCCAGGGAUUAUCUCCUCAUUCCAAUGAUUUGACUGUUGUCUAUUCUUAGCUGGUACCAGGUUGUAAAGUGGAAGGGUGAUUGGUUGGUUGGUUGGCUUGUUGGUGUUUUUACGUCCAGAUCCUAUGUCAUUCCAGUAUUAUUUUUACUGUCUCGUGUGGGGUAAAGUCCCUCUACAUUGCUGUCUCUACAAGGCUAACUCCUUUGACCCCAGCAGAAAGAACAGUUGAUGAUAUUUGGUGAAAAAAACAAAAAACAAGAAAAACCUAUUCUGUGACUCUUCUUCUCCUUGGCAGGAAAGUCUCACUUGAAUCACUGGGCAGAAUAAUAGAGGCAGAUGGAGGUUUAAACCUUAAUUCCACCACUUGGUGGUGUGUAUAAGUGUGGGUCAGUCUUUCAGCUUCCCAGUGAGUCUGUUUCCCAAAUAAAUCAUGGAGUAGCACUUAUAGGAGCGGAUAAUGAUGAAGUAAGGUAAGCAGGAAAGCAUUUAGGGUAGCAUCUGGCACACAGCAGCACUCCACAUCAACCCUGGCUGUCACCGUAUUAUUAUCACUGCUACCUCCGUCCUAGUUUUCACUCUACUGCAUAGUUUGGGUCUGUUUGCACACUACACUUCUUUAAAACACACACAUACUCUUGAGAAUUAUCUCGUUGUCUUCCUACAAGCUGUCUUUUUCCUUCUGCAUGAACUUUUAAACCUUCUCCACUAAGACAAGGGAACUUUAAAUGGUUUUCUUCACAGAGAACUAGCCUAAGGAUGAACAUAAAUUAGCUGAGGGUGGUAGCCCACAUCUGUAGUCCCAGCUACUUGGGAGGCUGAGGUGGGAGGACCACUUGAGCCUGGGAGGCUGAGGCUGCAGUGUGUGGUGAUUGCGCCACUGCACUCUAGCCUGGGCAAUGGAGCAAGACCCUAUCUCAAAAAAAGAAAGAAAGAAAAGAAAAGAAAAAGAGAGAAAAAUGCAAUUCAGAACCACGAGAUUUUGAAAAAAUGAAUAAUGUCUUAAGAGAACGGAAACUUUAUUACUCUCAGGCGUACACAGCCACAGCCACAGUUCAACAGUCUCUGUCCUGUGCAGGGCCUCAGGUGACUUGCUUUUGAUGACACAGAGAAGCAGGUUGCCCUCUGUCAGUUGAAGAACCCAUGUUUUCAGCAUAAUGCCCUGAUGUCAUAUGUGGCUUGGGGAAUCCUGCCUAUGACUCUGAGGUCUGUUUUGUUAAUGAUGCUUCACCACUUUAACAUUCUCGAAAGUAGGUUUUGGCCUUAGAAUCUGUGAAAUUCUCCCUCAGUUGUUGUUCUUUAUUUGUAGAUAACCGUGAGAUCAGCUGGCUGGCUAUAAAAAAAACUCAGUCUCUAUCCGGAAAUUUCAAGAAUGCCAAAUCUGUGAUGUCUGCAUUGAUAAAUUCUUAUACAAUGCUUUAAACAGACUCAGAUUUUAAAAUGUAUUAAGUUACCUAACUACUCAUUUAAAAUAACUCUUUCAAAAGCCCGGCUUGUCUUACCCUAGCUGUAGUUUUUUUUUGCUAGUGAAACGACCAGUGGAUUACUGUAUCUCAGAUUACAUUCAUUCUAUUUCUAUAUUGUAAAUCCAUUGAAGGGUCGUUUCUCUGACUCCUUGGAGGAAAUUCCUGCCCAGAGCCCCCCCACAAGACAUUUCUACAUUGUAAAGCAGCACCAAGAGGAAGCAUGAGUGAAUCAAGUUCUAUAAAGAGGGAUCCUAGGACAAUGUUCCUUUUAGAGAUGGAAAAGCUCUAAGAUAUUGCCAAGUAAAAGAAACCUCUCUUUCAGAGGUGGAAAAUAACCUAAGUUUUCACACUGAGUUGGGAGUAGGACACAGGUGAGAACUCUUAAACUCUGCUCAGUAAGGGCUCUAGGUCUUCCUGUCUUAGGCUCUGAAGGGAAACAGACUGCAGUCUCUCCUGAAAUAACCUGGGAGGGAACUUUGACAUCAAGAUAUUCAACCUCCUACUUGUAGAGAUAGGGGGCUCUGGCAUUCGUCAUUCAUCUAACAGGUGUUUAUGGAGCCCUUCACCAAUGCCAGACACUCUCCUAAACAAGUUAUGGCAGUGACCAACACUGAACCGUUCCCUGCUCACAGGGAGUUGGUCACAGUGCAGAGAGCAGACAGUGAAUAGGUGAGUCAGUUAUCUGCUGAGAAAGAUGACAUCAGUGUUAUGUCAGGGUGACGUAGUGGUACCUGAGAUAGGGCACAGUGAAUGGAACAUUUUUUCUAAGUGCAAUGGAAAGUCAUUGUAGAGUUUUAAAUAGAGGAGGGCUAGGAUAUGCUUUAUGUCUUAAAAACCUGUCUGACGCCUAGAUGGAAAUUUAAUUGUGUAAAGAGCAAGAAUAUCACUUCUAGGCAAAUGCUGUAGGUCAGAGAAAAGAUGAUGGAAGCUGCUAAGAUGGUAGCCAUGGUAUCCACUUAGCUGGUACAGCUACGUGGAUGGAGGAUGGAUGCUGGACAUAAAGGUGAAGUCUGGACCCUAGAGUCAGUGGGAGAGGUAAGCGAAGAAGACUUACCAACAACUUUAACCGUUCAGCGUGAGCAUCCGAAGAGAUGUACCCAAAGAGAAGUUUGCAUCAGGCUCUGUGCAGCAGCUAGAGUUCAUUUUGAUUUACACCUUUUUAAAAUUUAAUUUAAUUUUUUUAAUUAAAGAUAUCAGGUCUCUCUCUGUCACUGAUGCUGGAGUGCAAUAGAAUGAUUGUAGCUCACUGCAGCCCCAAACUCCAGGCUCCAGCAUUCCUCCCACCUCAGCCUUUUGAGUAGCUGGGACUACAGGUGUGCACCACCAUACCCAGAUAAUUUUUUUUUUUUUAGAGACAGGGUCUUGCUAUGUUGCCCACUCUGGUCUCAAACUCCUGGCCUCAAGUAACCUUCCUGCAUCUGCCUCUCAACGUCCUGGGAUUACAGGUGUGAGCUAGCUUGUCCUCCCAACAGCUAUUUAAAAAAUAACGUUGAGAUCUGUAAGCCACGCCUGACCAGAGGGUGGAUACUUACCUAUUUCUCGUAUUUCUUGAGUAGCACCUCACAUAGGGCUGAAUUGUGGGGUGGACUGAAUGCAGGGAUAAGUGCAGGUGUACUGGACAGUUUCACCCUACGUGUGCUUUCCUCUGAGCCCAAGGACUGCAGCUGAGAAAAAAUGUCUCGAUGGGUAAUUGCGUGAUCCACUGCCCUGCGUGGGACCACAGUCUUAAGAUGCCUGUUAUGCCUUCGUGGGUGCCCCAGUUGUCUUCUUUUGUAAGACUGUAAACUUCAUCAGCCUGGCCUUGACUUCCUCUGGAUACAAUAGUGGGAACCACACAAUGCUGAGUCACAGUUACAAGGGGUGUCUGUCAUCACAGGGCAGUAUCACUCUGCUCCCAGGCACCCUGCUGUUUAUCAUCCCUCCUGUCUCCCUCUCCCUCCCCAGGGCCACGGUCUUCUUUGGCAGCGAUCACAUCCAAGCCAAUUUCAAUCAAUAGUUUUGUACAUUUCAAAUGGAAAUAAGCUCCGCGUUUAGCAGAUGAUGAGAGUUUCACUCAAAAUGUGGCAUAUUUGUACCCCCUCCCUUAGGUCGAACAUGUAAGUAUUCUUGAGGAGGGGAGAAGAUGCCCUAAGCUUAAUGUUUAAAAUCGUUAGGAUGGCAUCUCCUCCAGGCCACCUGUAGCUGUGAACUCAGUGUUAUAUAUCGUGAACUCCAAGUUUCUCUUCAAAGAAUCAGUGUGUCAAUGUGCUCCACUCUCUUAUUCUUUAAUUCUCCACUUUAAAAUUCAACUUCCUGGUUCUCUUUGCCCCCUUUGCCUCUAGUUUUGGUAAACAACUUUCCCACCAGUUCUAAUCAGUAGUUCACAUCUGUUCCCCUGGUCACCUGCUUUGACAUGAGUCACCCCUGGUCACCUGCUCUGACCUGUUCCAUAACUGUCCUUCCUGCCAAACUACCCACCCCACCAGUCUGGCUGGUACCUCUGCCCUCUUUACAAUAGCCAAUCAGAAUUAGCUUAGACUGCGUGGUUCAACACUAGCCAGUAGGGGAACAACACAGCAGCAGGGGCUACCUGUGUCAGGAAUAAAAAGCCCUUCCCCUCCCUUGUCCACGUGUCUGCUCACUGUUGCUCCAUCUGUGAGAUGCACCCUUCUACAGAGGUAAAUUGCCUUGCUGAGAAAAUUUACAUUUGACUACUACUCGAGUACUAUUACUCGAGUUUACGUAUAACGUCAGUGACUCUGAAAAUUUGAACAGCUGCCCCUCCUUAAGAUUCGUUACUGCCUGUGACUUGACACAAUGGAAGGGCAGGGACCCCUAAGACUCUGUGAACCUUUGUUGGGUUGGCAUGAGCCAAGCCUGCCAGAAGAGACAUUUUCUUUCUUGACUUUGACUUCUGGCUCGGCGUGGGAACCCAUUUCUUUCCUCUCUGAGACCUUUCCUCUUGCGUGUUGGGCUUUGUACUUUUUAUACCUUACUGUGGCUCUGACAAGGCCUUUACUGCUGCUUUGGGUUUUGUUGUUGUUGUGUUGUUUUCCACUUAGAUGCCCAUCUGGCCUGGAUGAUUUUCGCCUGGCUGGAAGGAGACACCUUGGCAGGUGAAGAGAGAGGAGAACCUGCAGGAUUAUGUGAAAAUCUUUCGCUGAGGUUCACACAGAAGCAUCUUAGAGGGAGUUAGAAUCUCUUUCUCAAAUCUUUAUAAGACAAGUGUUCUGAAAUGUCACCACAGAGUGUACACUGGGAUAAGAAGUAACAUCUUUCCAGCUACCCUGCAUUGGGAAAGAAAAUAAAAAAGAACCCAGGAAGGAUAACAGAAGAUAGAAAGUCCAUCUUGAUAUUUGGGGGACAAAAAAAUACAAGGACAUUUUUCUUUUAAAUCCAAGAAAGUAUAAAGAGGAGAGAUGUUGAAAAGCACCUUGUCUCUGAUUUCUCAUCUUUGCCCAAUACAAACAAGUACCUGAGAUGUUCUUCUGGGCAUCAUAGAGUAUUUGAUUCAGCCCCAUAACCAUGAUGGUGCUCAUUCUGGGGACAAAAGGCCCUUUGAACAGGCAUUCGUUUUAUGGUACUUGGACCACACUUUUCCGGGAAAGAAGUACUUCUGGGCCACCACAGGUGUGGUUGCAAGAAACUAACCUCAGAACUUAGAAUGGAUUCAAAUCAAGCAUAUCUAGAUCAUAGCAGAAGCAUCACCAGUGGUAGAAUAACAUCUUUUCCCCCUCUUCCAGGGAACACCUGGCAAACAUUUGCACCUAUAUCCUCAGCUUCCCUGUCUAGCUUUGGUGAAUGGGUAUUCUGGGAGACUCUGUAAUUUACUGUUUCGUAGGAUCUCAUAGGAAUUUUUCGUGUGAAUUCAGCUCUGAACUUUUCAUGAUCAAUGAUAAGCAACUCUUCGUAUUGUUUUCUCUUGGCCUUCGAUCUUGUGGAUCCAAACACUCUUUUUAUUAACUUCAUGGUUCUAUAUAAGAGAUUUUAGAAAUGAUAAUACUCCUCUCUCACAGAUACUGUAAGAAUUGAGUGAUCCUGAGCACAUAGAUUUGUCAGCAUAGGGCACCCACUACCAAUGAUAUUAUGAUGGGACUUGAUCCAACUUGGAAUCUGUUACCUAUGCCCAGUAGCAUUGUUUGCAUGUGUCUGCUUUUUAUGAUUAUUAAGAGUUUAUUUUUUUAUGGAGGAUGAGGGAAAGGGUGAUUAAGCAUAGGUUAUUUGGUUUAAACUAAUGAAUCUUUUUUUUUUAGUAGGCUGACCAUCUGUCAGGGAAGUGGCAGAAGGCAUUGCAAUAGGACUGAGUUGAAUUAAAUUAAGAGAUAAAAGUAAUAAUAAUGGCUUGCCUCCAAAUGAUUCUAAAAAUCUGCGCACUUUUCCUAGUGCCAUUUUUGCCACGUUAAUCCAAGCUACCUGCAUCUGGACCGCAAGCUUCCUAACUGGUCUCCCUCUAUCCUUUGUCUUCAGAUCCAGUCUUUUUGUAAUAGAUUGGUCCUUUUAAUAUUCAAAUCAGGUUAUCGUUCCCCAACUUUCCCCACUUCCUAGCCUUGAAUACUGACACAAGAACAGGAAGCCAAACACCGUAUGUUCUCACUCAUAGGUGGGUGUUGAACAAGAGACCACGUGGACUGAGGGAGAGGAGCAUCACACACUGGGGCAGUUGGCGGGGGUUAGGGGAGAGACAGUGGGGGGUGGGGGAAAGGGGGGAGGGUGGGAUAACAUAGGGAGAAAUGCCAGAUAACGUAUGCACCUAAAAUAAAAGAAAGAAAGAAAUAAAAAGAAAAGGGGGAAAAAAGAAACAUUUACCAAAAAAACCCAAAUGUAAAAUAAAAAUGGAUAGCUUGGCCUGUCAUCCCAGUUUUGUCUGGCUUCUUGCCUUUCUCUCUGACCCCUCUCUCCCUCUCUUUCUCUCCAGGCCUUUAUUCCUAGGGCUCUCAACACACUGGCCUCCAUGGCUGUUUUGUUGCAGCCUUGGAGACGUGUGCCUCUUCUUCUGCCAGAGGGUGCCUCCUGUCACGAUCAUUUGGCAAGGUCUGCUCUUGUGUCACAUCUCAGUUUAGACUCGAAAGAGAGGCAAUUUCAAACCCUCCAGUAACUACUUGCCACCCGAAAGAUCUCACUGUGCUAACUGCAGAUUUAUUGGAGUGGCGUUUGCUGAGUUGCUCACCGUGGAGUCCCCAGAACCCACCUUAGUGGCACUGCUGAAUGAAAUGUGCCUCAAACUACAAAGGGCUUAUGAUGUGCAUUUUCCCGCUUGGGGCUCAUGGCAUCUUUGUGAGGAAGGCGUUACUGGACAGCCUCAAAGUUGUGGGAGAGGAGUCUAAAGCCUGCUGUGGCAAAAACUUGGAAAUGGAAGAAUAGGGGCUGAAUCCCAGGGUUCUGAUGCCGAGCCUAAAGCUCUUUCAGCUUGAGUGCUGUACAUGCUAGACAGCAUCUGCAUACUGUUGUCUAAAACAGAGAUAUCCAGUGUUUUGCCUUCUCUGGGCCAUGUUGGGAGAAGAAGAAUUGUCUCGGGGUCUACGUAAAAUUCACUAACACUGACAAUAGCUGAUGAGCAAUAAAUAAAUUCACAGAAAAAUAUUUUAAUGUUUUAAGAAAGUUUAUGGAUUUGUGUUAGGCUGCAUUCAAAGGCAUCCUGGGUUACAUGUGAACUAUGUGCUGUGGGUUGAACAAGCUUGGUCUAAAAUCCUAUUAAUUAUUAUUUGUCGAAGUAGGGUCAUCACUCAGGAAGCUUUUGAAGAAGUAUUCUUAUGGCACACAUAUCACCUGCCAGAGUUUGUCCCAAGGAUGUUCUAAGCCUUUUCUCGUCUAAGCUGUACAAAGACCUUGUAAGGUAGUGUAUUAGUUAGUAUCACAAACUGGGUGGUUAAAAACAAUGACAGAAGUGUAUGUCGUUACUCUUCUGGGGCAAGGAGCCCAAAAUUAAGGUGUCACCUGGGUCUUGCUCCCUCUGAAACCCGGAGGGGAAUUCUGCCUUGCUUCUUUUGACUUCUGGUUUGGUGGUAAUCUCUUUCAUACUGUGAUUGGCAGCUCUGUAGCACCUCCGUCUGCGGCCAUUGUCAUGUGGCAUUCUCUUUGGGGUUUUUUCACAUCAUCUUCAUGUCUGCAUCUGUCUCUGUGUACACAUUUCUCCUCCUUAUAAGGACAGGCCCACCCUAUUGACCUCAUCUUUGAUUACUUUUUGUAGACUGUAUUUGCAAAUAAGGUGGCAUGACCGGGUACCUGAGGUUAGGGGUUUAUCUAUCUUUUGGAGGGGACAUGACUUAACCCAUAGCAGAUACCCAUCCUCCAUUUUUACAAACGGGGUCGGCUGGGUGCAGGGGCUCACGCCUGAAUCCCAGCACUUUGGGAGGCCAAGGUGGGCAGAUUACCAGGUCAAGAGAUCGAGACCAGUCUGGCCAACAUAGAGAAACCCUGUCUCUACUAAAAGUACAAAAAAUUAGCUGGGCAGUCUCCUGUAAUCCCAGUUAUUCAGGAGGCUGAAGCAGGAGAAUCAUGUAAACCUGGGAGGCGGAGGUUGCAGUGAGCCAAGAUUGCACCAUUGCACUCCAGCCCCAGUGACAGAGAGAGACCUCAUCCCAAAAAAAAAAAAAAGAAAAAAAAAGUUGGGGGCGGGUCACAGGUUCCAUAACAUGCCCAAAGAUUCUUAACUUGCAAUUGGCAAUGACAAGCUCAAAUACAGAUCAUGCCUCCUAAGUCCAUGCUUGGUUUGUAGACCAGACAGUUUUCAGACUCUUAAAUCAAAGCUUGGUCUGUAGAUUCAAUUAACUUUCAAAAAGUGAAGUGGGACCCUUUUUCUUGACUCAAAGUGAGCUUAGACACUGGAGGCAGAAUUUUAAAGUGCCUGAGUGCGUGUAUCAUCACUGGCUUUGCCUGCUGAAGCAGAAAUGUGUUCUUCUCCUGCCCAACUAUGCCGCAUUGAGAAUAAAGUGUCUGGUACUCUUUUACUUAAGAGGCAAGCCAUUCUUCAAUUUAAUUGGUGGGAAAAAGUUUAUUAUAAAGUACUUUUCCCCCAGAAUAGUUCCCUAAAGUUGGAUAGAGUGUCUGUUUUUUCUCCCUCCUCUUUCUUCCCAGGAAUCAUUACCAGCGCUGGCUGAUGAUUUAUAACCACAUUCCCAGCGAAUUCCACUGUUGUUAAUGACUACUUAUUUUCUAUACAAAUGAUUUUUGCUCUCCUUCCUGAGGAUAAUUAACUAAGAAACUGGUCAUAAAUUACUGAUAAUGAUCAGUUCGUCAGAGAUGAUUGUCAACUGGUGCCAUCUUCCAUAGUAACUAGAUAAAGUAUCUUUAAUUGCUGAUAACAGAACAGACAAACUGUGGUUAUUUUUUUCUUUUCUGUUUUUUUUUUUUGUUGUUGUUAUUGAGAUAGUCAUGAAAUCUUCUUCCUGGAAGUCAGGCAGAAUGAGACCUUUUUUUCUCUCUCUCUCCUGAGGGAGGGGAAAAGGAAGAAAUAGUCAUGAUUUACAGACUUCUAGAAAUAUAAUAAAUGUGACCACUUUUUGAAGUUUCAAAUAAGAAAGCUGAUCUUUCUAAAGCAGAGAUCAGAGAAAAUCUGCUCUGAGAUACAUUUCAUUUAGACCGGGGUCCUUUCUGGUCAUGUUUGAUUUUUUUUUCCCUCAAAAUCAUGUCUUUCAUAUUUGCAUCUAAACCUUGGCCUUCAAAUGGGACUUGUUUGAACUCUGGAAAGGAAUGGUAUUCAAUUUACAGGGUUCCUCACAGUUAGGAUGCUGAUUAAACCCCAGACUGCAAGCAAGACCCUUAGCUGGGAAAGAAAGAGAAGAGCUAUGGCAAGGCAUGUACCCUGAAAGUCUCUUUAAUCAUAGCCCUUAUUCUGUUUUCUUAUUGGCAAGCUCAGACUAUUCACUGGAGUAAAAAUUACAGGACUUAGUAGUAACUUCAGUUCUGUGAAGGGUACACAUAUUUUACAUAGUAAAGAGUGGUUUACAUUUAACCCAGUUAAAUGUGUCACUUUACUGACAUGCCUUGAAUAUUGAGAGUCUUGGAUGCUGCAGUCCUUUAUUCAUAAUCUCCAUCCGUCUUGUAAACUUUGGCUUUGUUUUGCUAGAUGUCAGCAACUGUCAUACAAGCUAUGGUGUCCGAGAUCAUUUGAAUAAUUUAGGCAGCUUAGAAAAUAAUGUGGUGCUUAAAAGAACAGAAAUGACGGCUGGGCGCGGUGGCUCACGUCUGUAAUCCCAGCACUUUGGGAGGCCGAGGCGGGUGGAUCACAAGGUCAAGAGAUCGAGACCAUCCUGGUCAACAUGGUGAAACCCCAUCUCUACUAAAAAUACAAAAAAUUAGCUGGGCACGGUGGCGCGUCCCUGUAAUCCCAGCUACUCAGGAGGCUGAGGCAGGAGAAUUGCCUGAACCCAGGAUGUGGAGGUUGCAGUGAGCCGCGAUCGGGCCAUUGCACUCCCACCUGGGUAACAAGAGCGAAACUCCGUCUCAAAAAAAAAAAAAAAAAAGAACAGAAAUGAGAAUUCCAAAGGCCGGGGUCUCAAUACCAAAUUGUUUGGGGGUAUGUAGUGUCCCUUUGGACUUUCUAGGUUUUGUUAUGAGAAACGAAGCUACAGCCAGCAUAGAGUUAGAAUGUAUGAACUUACAAGGAUUUUUACAACUGAUUUCAUCAAAAUUUCUUUAGUUCCAAGUUAAAAAAAAAAAAGUAAGUUUCAAAUAAGCUCUCCAGGUAGUCACAGAGAUGAGAAAGAUACAAAUAAAACAUAAAUAAAGUUUCAAUUAAAAUUAAGAAAAUAAAAAGAAUUAGAUUAUAGAACCAGGAAGCACAAAGGGUAGACUUCAGGUUCAACCCAGUCAGAAGAUUUCACAAUGUCACGAGAACUGUGAUUCUCCCAGAUGUGCCUCCCCUCUUGGUACCAGGCACCACUAAAAGUUCUUACACACAUAGUCUCUGAGAAGUUAGCAUCCUUGGCUGGUGCAGUGGCUCACACCUGUAAUCCUAGCACUUUGGAAGGCCCAUGUGGGCAGAUCACUUGAAGUCAGGAGUUCGAGACCAGCCUGGCCAACACGGUGAAACCCCGUCUCCCCUAAAAGUACAAGAAUGAACUAGGCAUGGUGGUGGUGCCUGUAAUCCCACUUAGUCAGGAGGCUGAGGCAGGAGAUUCACUUGAACCUAGGAGGUGAAGUUUGCAGUGAGCUGAGAUCAUGCCACUGCACUCAAGCCUGGGCAGCAGAGCACGACUCUGUCUCAAGAAGAAAAAACAAGAAGUUGGUAUCCUGCUGGGGAUACUGCCAAAAAUUCUAGGGAAGGCUCUGAUUGGCUAAUUUCAGUCAUGUGCAUACUUCUCAGUAAAUCCCUAGAUGAUAAGGCUGGAGUUUUCUGAGUGGCUGGUCUUGAACCUCAUCACCUAUGGAGUAAGUUGGGGGUGAAGGGAAUACAGCUCUAGCUACAUGAAAUAUACAGAUGUAGAAUGGGGCAAGGGUGGUUCUCCAAAGUAAAAUAUUUUAGAUGAAGCCAAAAACAAAAGAAAACACAAGCUCACUAGUAGACAGACCGUCUCAUAGACCCUUGCAUAGUUUAACCACUGUCCAGCUCGGUUUGCUCUGCUACCGGUUCACAAAUGCUUUCCUUGGCUGGUUUUGCUUUUGCACUGGAUUUUGUAACACUUUUUGAGCAUUGUCUAAGAGGGGCGACAGUUUCAAGUCCACCCAUUGGAGAAGUGGACACCAUUCCAUACUUCAUGACUAAAUCUGAAAUGCUGUUCACUUGUGCUUCCAGCUGAAACAUUUUUCUUUUCAUUCUUCCUGGAGUCCCUCUCCAUCCUCCCACCCCUCCCUGUUCUCCAUGGUACACUUCUCUUUUUGGGUGAGGGGGACAGAGGUCUCACUCUGUCACCCAGGCUGCAGUGCAGUAGCAUGAUCUCAGUUCCUGCAACCUCUGCCUCCCGAGUUCAAAAAUUCUCCUGCCUUGGCUUCCCAAAUAGCUGGGACUACAGGUGUAAGGCACUAGGCCCGGCUAAUUUUUGUAUUUUCAGUAGAGACAAGGUUUCACCGCGUUGGCCAUGCUGGUCUCCAACUCGUGGCCUCAAGCAACCUGCCCAUCUAGGCUCCCAAAGUGCUGGGAUUAUAGGUGCCUGCCACCAUGCCCAGCUAAUUUUUGUGUUUUCAGUAGAGAUGGGAUUUCAUCAUGUUGCCCAGGCUGGUCUUGAACUCCUGACCUCAAGUGAUCCACCUGCGUCAGCCUCCCAAAUUUCUGGAAUUAUAGGCAUGAGCCACUGUGCCUGGCCUUCGCCGUACAGUUCUAAUUCUGGGCUUCUUCCUAAACUUUUCCCAGCAUGAGCAAAAAUCAGUGUAUUAUUCUGCAUCCCAAUUGAAAUUGUUUUUUCUUCUUACAAUACUUAGGAUGUACCUACGUGAAUUUUAGUUUGUAAGAAUUCAUGCCUUUCCUGAGACACAGAGUACUGUUCUGUGAUUCUUUCUUCAGCACUUUACAUUCAUGAGAACAAUGCCUGGCACUAAAUAGAUAUUUCAUUCUGGUGAGUUCUUCCCAGACAAGACUAAAGGAAGGAGUGAAUACUUGGGUGACUCAGGUUAUCCUUUGGGUCUGGCUGUGUUCACUUAUGGGAAUAUGAGUGUGGACAUUAAUGGUUUGGAGGAGCACAGGAAAACAGUCUCAUCACCUAUGGAGUAAGGUGGGAAUGAAGGGAAUACAGCUCUAACUAACAAAUCACACAGCCACAUGUGUACCUAUGGAACGAUUUUGCAUGUUCUUCACAUGUACCCCAAAACUUAAAAUGCAAUAAAAAUAAAUAAAUGAAUGGAAUAUACAGAUGUAGAAUCAGCAAGGGUGGUUUGCAGAGGCAGAGAUGGAUUUUGUUUCUCUUGGGGGCCCUAGGAAUUCUACCCACACCUGGACCCAUUUUACAUGAUAAUGCCUCCAAGUUUUGGGUUACAGAGCUCAACUCUCUGAGAUUAACACAAAGCAAGGGACUUCCCUGUACAUCACACAGAACUAGCCCAACUCAGGAUAAGCAGUUUCUCAUUAAUGCCACAAAUGUUCUGUAGCAUCUGUUAAGUGUUGGACACACGGAAUCAGUGAGUAUGUAUGUGACUGCUGCCCUCAUGGCUGGAGCUUUGCUGCUGGGAUGGUCCAGUCUGAGGCUGCCUUUUACUACCAGGGGGAUCUCAGACUAGUUGUUUAACAACUCUAUGCCUAAAUUUUCCUCCCUGUAAAAUGGGAAUAAACAGCUACUUCACAGAGCUGUUGUGAAGACUAAAUGAUUUUACAUGCCUAGCACAAGUAACCAUUUAGCAAAUGAUAGCUGUUCCUUGUAGCUGUUGGCAGAUGAAGACUGCAGGCUGGUAGUACACACAUUCAUCAAAUGAUCAUAUUUAAAAUGUAAAUUAUGAUAUAAUUGAUCUGAAGAGGAGGUGCUUGGUGUUAAGUACACUUAAAAUGUGGAAUUCUGUAAAAGUUUUCCUGGUAAUACAUGACUAAUAUAGCUACAGAUAAGACCAUUCAUAGAUUAGAGCCAAAACCAAUAAUGUAACCAAUUUCGAUGAUUGAUAAUAAGACAGCAGUUGUGGACAGCUGAGAUGGUCCUUUUCCGACCAGGAUGUCAAAGCUACUGUGAUUAUUACAUGAGUUACAUUUCAUUUGCCAAGAUGGUUCUUCCCUCUCAAUGAGUUGGUUAUUUCAGAGUGGGAAAAGCCUUCAGCUCAGUGUCCUUCAGGAUGCAGUCUGCUCUUUACAUUUCUGAGAGUCAUUUGGAUUUCAGAAGGAUUUGCCUCUCAUCUUCCAGUCAGAUCCUAUUACCAGUCAAUUCAGAACAUCCACCAGUUCAGCAAGAGAGGAAAGGAUGGAUUUUCAUGGCUUCCACCUUUGCUUGGUAACAGAUUAUGCUUUAGAAAUCGCUCUGUGACUUCCUGCUUCUUGCUGGCACGAUCAUGUUCCUGUAUGUGGCUAAGUUGUGCCCACAUUUUUAAUAGUUGGAACAUACCGAGUAAAUAGCCACACCUUUGAAAGUUCUACUUUAAGUUGAAUUAGACAAGUGAAUGAAGAAAUAAUUAAAGUAUUUGAAGGAAGGAAGCCCUUUGUCUUUAAAAAAGAGAGAGAAUAAUAUCAGGGAACCAAUCAGACUAGUGAAUCAGAGCCCAGUUUUGGGGUCUGAGAGACUCAGGGUGGAAUUGCUAGGAGACCUUGAGCUAGUCUCUCUAGUUGUUGAAAACUGAGUAAUAUCAUCUACAAAAUGGAAUAAUAAUGCCUGAUUCAUGGAUUUGUACUGAAGACUGAAGAAGAUACUAGCUGCAAAGUAUUCAGAUGUUUACCUAGAGUGUGUUAACUGCUGAAUAAAUGUGAGCCAUCACCCCAGUGUUGUGUGCGUUGAUGACGAUGGUAAACAAGAAUGCUUGAGGAGAUUUCAUUCGUCAUUCUUUUACCUUCUGAAUUUUGGAGCCCUUGGAAAGGGGAAAAAUAAACACAAUUUUUACCUUCCUUUUGUUGCAGAAAUGUGUAAUUAUGUGAUAUAUACAUAUACAUAUGUGUACAUUUUAUACAAAAAAUUAUAUAGAACAUGUACAUGUAUAUGUAUAUGGAUACACAUACAACUCUUUGUAGUAUGUAUCACUGUAUUAUGUGUGAGAUAUAUAUUAUAAAUAUAUAGUAUAGAGUAUGUCUGGUAGUAUAUUCUGUUGUGUGAUAUACAUAAUAUAAAAUAUAUUGUCUCUUAUUAGAUUACAUAUAUUCCCGGUAUCUAUGUUACAAUCAUUUCUAAUUUUUUAAAAAUGUAUUUAUCUAAAGAAGAAGCAUCAGCUACCCCCUGCAAGUUCUCGGAGGGUUGGUUUUUAUCAUUAUUUGUUUUGACACUUGAGUGGCAGCAACUUCCAGUUACAGCCAGAGUCUUAGUGCGUAAUCCCGUGGAAAUGUCCCUAGGUAACAGGAUGUGCCCACUGCUCAUGGAAGUCAGUUCUGUUAAAUAGGGAGGAUUUUAUCUGUCUGAAUAAAUAUUUCUGGGUCUCUUCUCACUCUAUGGAUUUGAAAUGUGAAUAGGCAAGAAGGGUCAACACUAUAAAUCAGCAGUUUCCAUGAAGUCACCACCGAUUUAGAGCAGACAGCAGCUUUUGGGUUGAAAUAAAGAUCACGAAGUGCAGACGUAGGCAGCAAAUGCUGGGGAUAAUGUGUGGAGUUUAUGGGACUAUCGAGUGAAUGUUUAUCAAGGAUUGAUAGGAAGGAGAGUGCUCUUUUGGAGAUAAGUUAGCUAAUCGAUAAUUGGCAAGGGAAACAUGGAAAUACUUGGUGGAAAUUGAUGCGGCCACAGCAAUCCACACAAGUACCUGCACCUCAAACCUACCAUUCCAACAUCCAAUGUGUCACUAAGUCUGUCUAAUCACAUUUUACUCAUCUUUGUGCUACUCUUAAGUUGCCACGGGGGUGAGAGUAGACACGGUGGGAAUGAAUGAUGUCUCCAAGGACUGGAUGGUAGAAAAGGAAGGUGGAUUUGUUUUAAGGAAGGGCCGCUUUUGAGAAUGGUUGGGAGAAUGGAGGAGAGAAGGACAGCAAAAAGUGACAGGAGAAGUGGCAGGUGAACCAGGCAGGGACAGUUUCCUAAAGGGUAGAAGGAAUUUCACAGAGACAGCAACCAUGGAUGGUGCCACAUCCUGUAAUGAAUUUGAGGCUGAACAAGAGUCAUUGGAUUUAUCUUCCAGUGAGUCAGUUUUUUUAUGUUUUGCCCAACUUUUUACCUAAACCAUUCCCCACAAUUAAGUGUGAGUUCCCAGAGAGCAGGUACCAGGGUUUAUUCAUUUUGAAAGCCCCAGGAUCUGGCAGACAUAUUAGGGAUGAAUAAAUGUGUUUUGAAAGUAUAAAGGAAUGAAUGAAUGGAUAAGUGCUGACCUUCGUAACAGUUUAAUAUCCGUACAAAGUGAAAAUACCAAAGUGUUAAAUAAUUAGAAAUUGGCAAAAUGGGGCACAAGAAAUCAUUUUAGAUACAUGGUAGCUCUAGGGGAUUAAGAAAUAGUAUCCCUUUAUUUCCCUAUUGAGUAAGAACCAACUGAGAAAGAAGCUGGACAGGAAGGCAAAAGGAAGUAAACAAUCUUCUUUCAUUUAGCCCAGUGUUUUUAACGUUCUGAUCCCAUCCCCCUGAAGUGUUUGGAACAGGCAAAUCUAUAUAGAUGCAAAGUAGAUUAGUCACCACCUAGAGAUGGAGAGUGAGCUGCGGAUGUGCACCAGGGUUUUCUCCUGGGGUGACAAAAAAUGUUCUAAAAUUAAAUUGUGAGGAUAAGGGCACCACUGUGUGAAUAUACUAAAAACUACUGAGUUGUAUACCUUGAAUUGGUGAAUGUUAUGGUUUCUGAACUCUAUGUCAAUAAAACUUAAAACAAAAAGGUAUCUGCAUAUUAAUCAAAUAAACUGAAAUUUAAAGAUAUGGCCAAGUGGGCUUGCUUAUGCUCUCCUGAUCUGUGCCGGCUUGCCCAUCAGUCACUGACACUGUGGAAACCUUCAGUCAAUCCCCUGGCCUCCAGUCCACACACACACACACACACACACACACACACGCUCAGGAAUUGUGCAUUUUCCGCUAAUGGGUUAAUUUGACAUAGGACUAAGGGACUAGCCUGAGUAUGUCCAGGUUCUUUUCCCAAGGUCACCAAUUUGAUAAACUGUUCCUUCUUGUGCAUGGAGGAAUGAGAAGCUCAGGAGUGGCCCAGAAUAUUAUGUUAGAAAAAUUCUUGCACAUGGAAACACAGGGCAGGAGGAUAAGUGGGUGCCUCUAUUCUUGUGUCACAUACAUUUUAUGUCCAGUUGUGUCUGUGUUUCUAUCAAAAAUACUCUUUUUUUUAUUGCACUUUAGGUUCUGGGGUACAUGUGCAGAUCAUGCAGGAUUGUUGCAUAGGUACACACAUGGCAAUGUGGUUUGCUACCUCCAUCCCCCUUCACCUACAGGUGGCAUUUCUCCCCAUGUUAUCCCUCCCCGACCUCCCCCCCACCCACUGUCCCUCCUUUGCCCCCACAACAGACCCAAGUGUGUGAUGCUCCGCUCCCUGUGUCCAUGUGUUCUUGUUGUUCAACACCCAAUUGUGAGUGAGAAUAUGCGGUGUUUGAUUUUCUGUUCUUGUGUCAGUUUGCUGAGAAUUACAGUUUCCAGAUUUGGAAGUCCUAGACAAGAGAAUGUUCCCUGCAUUCCAUAUCAAGUGAGAUCAAAGCAUACUAAGGUCUUCUCUUUCGUUAAUUUCCUUUUACCCAAAUCCUAUCCAUUGGACAUAAUCUGUAGUUAUGAAACCCAUCAAUUCAGGGAGUAUGGUCAUGAGAAAGCUUGAUGAAAUGUGGCUUUGGACUGUACAGUAGUCAGAAGUCUAGUUCGUCGUGUAUUGAAAGACACCAUUCCAUCCAUUGUGUGUUUGUGUUUAUUUAGGUAGACACUUGCAUGUAGUUGCACUGACAUUUAGGCAGACUUGCCCAUUCUAGACAUUUUCUCACUAUUAAAUGCACAUGGCUAGCACAGUGUCGGGUUAUUGGUCAAUUCUCGUUAAAUAUUGGCUGCAUAAGGGAUUGGGGUCACAGGCAUUUGGAAUAUAGGAGGAGUGACUUCACACCACAAGAGUACCAAGGCUUUGGGGAAUUCCUGCAGGCUGUGCCACUGGCUGACAGCUUGAGGCACCUCUACCCCAACACCUUUUGGACUUACAGGAUGAACGAUCCAAGAAUGUUGAUUGGCGCCUUGAUUAUUUUCUGUUGUCCCACUCUGUUACCUGUAUUGUGUGACAGCAAGAUCCAUUCCAAGGCUCUCGGCAGUGAUCACUGUCCUAUCACCCUAUACCUAGCAUUGUGACACCACCCCUAAAUCACUUGGAGCCUGGGAAAUUAGCCCCCUAAACUAACAUUCCUUCUUUUAACACUCUGAAGCGAAAUCUGCAUUGUAUUUCUCAUCUAUAAAAAUAGGAAUCCUCCAGCCAGGCUCCUGUAGCAGACUUAGAUUUCGUUUAAGCUCAAGAUUUUUUUGAGGGUUUCUUUUUUAAAAAAAAAAAAUUAAACAAAGGCUACUAGUGACUUUGUUUGAAUUAUCCACAUGAAAAUAAAAAGCCAUAGUUUCAAAAAAAAAAAAAAAAAAGGCAUUACCGGAUGAAACAGGUUCUUUAUUGGAACCAACUACAUUUUUUUGUCCUUCUUAAUAUUAGUCUGUCUUUGAGGCACCAGAGUAUUUUGAGACUAGUGAAACUCCCCUGGCCUUCAGAAUUAUAAUUUAAAUCUUUUAUCCCUCCAGAACUCAGGACAUUUAAUUUAUCAUGAUUCAUAAAAGACCAGUAAUAAACCCUGUCUUUAUUUAAACGUGGGCGGCAUUGACUUCCCUCUGUAGGAAUUGGGUGUUCUUUAUCAACGUCUCUCCAUCUACUUAUCAGGGAUCCUGCAUGUGUACAAAAAGCCAUCUUUGUCAGUCAGAGGGAGAUUUUAUUAACUAAAGGUUCAUUUGUUCUUCAAGUGACACUAUCUCUUUGGAAUUACCAGAUGUUGUUCAAACUGUACUGGCUCUCCUUUUAUUCUGAUGAAGGCAAAUGAAUGUGGUGAAUAAAUAUCGGGCCCUGUCCUCGGUCAUCUUAAAUAAAUGUGAUAAAAUGAAAACAUGUCGCCUCUGAGGUCUCAUUUGUUCUUGGGAAGUCCACGGCGCAUUGAGGCCAACAGACAAUGAAAGGCGAAUCAGCCAUUCACUGGGUGUUCCAUUAUGAGACAUUCUUGUCAUUUUCCAGAUUGCAUUUUAGAUUAAUAUAUAGCAUGAGAUAAGGUGACAUGUACUGAGAUGAUGCCACAGUGCCGUGGCCAAAUUGUUUUGUUAUAAUCAUAUGAUAUAGACAAUUAAAUGUAUUGUGGUGAAUUUCCCUGGAAUUUUGCAUUUAAAAGAAAAAGUGGAGGAAAAUAAAUUAAUGGUAGUUUUCUUAUGACUUAUACCUGAAGGAUCUCACAGGAAUGCAGGUGUUACAUUUUGACCCUUGUUUGCUAUCACGGCAAGACUGGUGACUGUCUUUUGAGGAGGAGUAGAGGGGAUUUCACUUAACUGGAUGAUCACAGAGCUGAGGUUUUAUCAUCCAUUGCUGAGCCACGUAUUAAAUAUUUAUAAUAUUAAAAAGUAGAAAAGAACCAUCUGUCAAAACAGACAUUUUGGAAUCACCAUGCCCUUCUUUUGUGGGUGAUGCAUGACACCCGUGAAUUCAGAUUACAAAGAGGGAUAUAAAGCUGAAUCUUGCUUUCACAGUGGGGGAAAAACUUAUGAAUGCUUUGAAAAUAAUUGCUAUUAAUUAUACUCAAAUCGUAUUACAUCAAGAAAUGGAGAUGUGAACCAGACUGGGAUGGUAAGAUUCCAGAAUACCAGCCACAGUUUCUCUCAUUUAUUACAUUGUCAUCCGUCUUGUGAUUUAGCAUCAUUUUUCACGGUCUGCAGUAAUACAUGGGAUUAGUAAAAGUUGGCUGCUGUCUGUUGUGCAGAAAUGUUGAAAGAAAUGAAGUAUUUCUGGGGGUGUUGCCGAACUCCUGUUGAAGGGGUGGCUAAGUGUCGCUGAUUAAUUCCCUUUCUAUCUCUGAUGAAAUGGAGAAGGGCAAAAUGCUCCUUUCGACCAAGUGUAUCUCGUUGCAGACUGCAGCUCAGAAGUUGCAUAAGCAUUUUCCUUCUUCGGUGUAAAUUGAUUUGCUGUGAAAAAUCUCGGAUGGUUCCAUUUCAAGGCAGUGUUUUAUUUGGCAGUGCAGGACAAAUGUAGAGCUAAGUAGAUUUGUCGGCUAAUUUAUUGGUCGUUUUAAUAUUGUGCCUUCUCCACUUCGGGGUGUUAGGUACUUCACCAAUGCUUCUUCAGCUAUGUGCUGCUUAUGGCAUGCCCAACUCAUCUUAAUUAAAUUCUUUCUUGUGAUCACCUUAUUUUUGCUCAUGGGAUACGUAGCUGUCACUGUGAGACAUUUUCUAGGAAAAUUGAGAUAUAUUUCUCAUAAAUUAAGCUUUUUUUUAAGGCUCUAAAUAUUAGUCACUUAAAUUAAUAUUAACUUAUUAUGUACUCCAAAUCAGUGCUUUACAAGUCUUUCAAAAAAAUGUCUGUUGCCCGGAAGCCUGGGAGGAGUGUGAUAGAGCUGGAGGGUAACGUGCAGGUGUGUUAGGUUAGUGAUGGGUGAAAUGACUUUAUGUGGCUUGUCCCCACCUCCCAUUGUCAGAGGCAAUCAAAGAAAGCAUUUUGCAAAUCGAGAAUAAGAAAGAGGCCUUGCAGAGCAUGUUACUGCUGUGGCUGCUGCUGCUGGCACCCCUGCUGAGAUCAGCUCAGGGCCAUCUUCUCUUUUAGAAAGAGGAGAAGAGAAUACCCUGAACUGUGCAUUUAUACUUUUUUGAGAAAACAUGGAUUUCCUGACCAGAAGCGCGAAGCUUUUGAACUGUAUGACUUGAGUCAUCUGCCAUGUUGGAAGGACAUUGGAAAAUCAGCCACCUUAUGUAGAACUUGGUCAUGACUUUCAAAAGUUUUCCCUACAAAUUGACACAUGGGGCUUUCAGCUUAUGUCCUGGGGGAUGUGGCAGCUGUCAUGUCAAUGUCUAGAUAAAUCGUGCCUUAUAACCAAAGAUAACCAUCUUAAACAAAACAUGGUUAAACAAAACAAAGCAUGCAAACGGGGCUUAUUCAUUUCCUCAGCCUGUUGCUGUCUUACACAGGUGAAGAACAUGUUUCAGUUAAGAUGAUUAACAUGACUCACCCCUGUGUCUUCCAUCCUCAAGCCCACUGGCUCUUGGCCUUAUAGCCAUGCUGACUGUCUUUUAUUUCCCCAGUCACACCCAGCUCCUCCUGAGUGGGGUGUUGUGAGCAUUCUCCUCCCUCUGUCUGGAAUGUGCCCCUCCUGCCUCACCACAACCUUUUCUGAGUUCGCUUUUACUUUUCCUUUCAAUCUCAACUCAAAAAUGCGGCUUUCCCCAGGAAAGCCUUUCCUGGAAUUCCCACUUCUAACGCAACUCCGACACUCUAGGAUAGAUGAGAAGAUGUUUGUGUUUGAUCUCAUAGUUCCUCGUCCUUUUCCUCCAGUUUAUAUAUACAUGUAUUUGUGUGUGUAACUAUAUGUAUGUUUACAUAUAUAUGACUGUUUGCAUAUACACACACACAGUCACAUGUCAUGUUAAUGUCUAGAUAAAUUGUGCCUUAUAAGCAAAAGUGGCUAAUUAAAUAAAACACCUAAAUAGGGGCUUAUUUAUUCUCAGUCUGUUGCUCUCACAUGUAUGAAGAACAUGUAUGUGUAUGUGUGUAUAUGUAAAUGUGUGUAUACACACACAUGUAUGCAUAUAUAUAUAUAGGUGUAUUCACACAGCUGCUGGCACCCCCUGCUGAGAUCAUCUCAUUGCCAUCUGCUCCUAUAGAGAGAGAAGAGUUUAUUCUGAACUAUGCUUUUUUUUUUUUUUUGAGAUGGAAUCUCACUCUGUUGCCAGGCUGGAAUGCAGUGGCACAAUCUCAGCACACUGCAAACUCUGCUUCCCAGGUUGAAGUCAUUCUCCUGCCUCAGCCUCCCAAGUAGCUGGGACUACAGGUGUGCACCACCACGCCCACCUACUUUAUGUAUUUUUGAUAGAGAUGACGUUUCACUAUGUCGGUCAGGAUAGUCUCAAUCUCUUGAUCUCAUGAUCUGCCUGCCUUGGCCUCCCAAAGUGCUGGGAUUACAGGCAUGCACCACUGUGCCCAGCCAGAACUAUCCUUGUUUUGAGAAAACAUGGAUUUCCUGUUCAGGAAAUGGGAAGCUUUUUGAACUGUAUGACUUGAGUCACCUGUCAUAUUGGAAGGACACUGGAAAAUAGGACAUAUAUAUGUACAGAUACAUACACACAUGUAUACACACAUAUAUGUGUAUAUAUACCCACAUACACAAAUAUGCACGUAUGCAUAUAUCUCUCUGUGUGUAUAUAUUCCUUUGCUAAUCUCUGUGUGUCUACAUAUCUUUCUGUAUCCAUAUAUUGAACAGCUACCAUGUGCCAGGUGCUCUUCCUGCAUUUGGGAUUUGUUGGUGUAAGGAAGACAAGCUGAAGUUGUUCCCUGAAGCUCCCUUACCUGCCUCAAGUCUGGACACACCAAAAAAGAAGACAGGAACCUCUGGUCCCUUUUCUGAAUUCUCAUGUAUUGAACUCAUAUUGCAGGAAGGAAGACUGAUAUCUUCCGACACACCUGAACAGACGUUUGUCACAGGUCAUUGUAUAUUCUUCAAGCCCAUUGAGUUCCCUUAAAAUUCACUUACUACACAUGGGAAAGUCAUCCACACUUUCCCAUCUCCCUUUCCGCUAAGAAGGAGGAUACAGAAUCAUCUGUGUCACAUUGUGUGGUGGGGUAGUCGCUCUGCUAUUCUCCGUCAUUCCUGGUCAUAAAUUUGUUUAUCAUUUAUCCACAAAAAAUAAAGACAAGCCCUGUUGAAGGGGAGAAAAACUAUUCUCGUUGGGGAGAAACAAUUCUGGUUGGGGAGAAAAACAGUAAACAGUGUGCGCGAUGCCUGAGCACGUUGUGUUGGAAUGUAAGCAGUGCUAUGGAAAAUAGAAAGCCAAAAAAGAGAAGGAUGAGGAGGGCAGGAGAGCAGGGGUGGAAGAAUCGGUUGCAAGUUUAAAUGAGGAGGAGGGGGCCAGGAUAGGCGUCACUCUGAAGGCAACAUUUCAGCACAAAACCAGCUGCAUGGACUUUGGAAGAAGAACAUUCCAGCUAAGUCUCGAGAGUAGCCCUUUGUUCAGGAAGAACAGAAGAGCUGGAGGGAGUGGGGUGGAAAAUAGCAAAGAAUGAGUUGAGGGAGGAAGCAAGGUGAGGAGGAGGUACAAGUCACAUAGGGCUUAUAGACAUUCAGGGCCUUUGGCUUUUACUCGAGCAAAAUAGGGUCUUGACUUAUAUUUCAAAUGGAUAAUUUGAACUUCUGCGUUGCAAAUUGAUUUUAAGGGCACUUAAUGCAGCUUAUAGCCAUGUACUUACUUGUGUGAUUAUAUGGUUGAUGACUGUCUCUCCCAUAGACUGUAGUCUCUAGGAGGGCUGGGGUCCUAUCUGUCUUGCUCUUCACUGAAUCUCCAGGAUCAAGCCCAGUGCUUGGCAUGUCACUGUCCAAUAAAUAUUUAAUGUGAAGGGAUAAAAUGAAUGCAGCCCCCAUCAGGAUGAUGCUAGUUGGCGUUCAUCCCUCAGAGGCAUGUGCUGUAGAUAGUCAGUGUGCAAAUUUCAACUUGUAUCCAUCCAUUUAAAGAUGACUUCAAACGCAACCUCCGACCAGAGCCUUAAGUGGAAUUACCUACCUAAUUGUUGCUAUAUGCAGCUGGUUUUCAUUAGUGCUGUUUUAAUUUGCAGUCUGUGAACUUUGAUAUUUCUAACAAAAAGAAAUUGGACACUAGUCUGGAAGGCUUCCUUCCUUAAAAUGAAUAUGCUUCACGCCCAAGCAAAUGACUGGAAAGGUUCCCUGUUGUCCGCUAGGGAAAUGAUUCCUGGGGGCAGGGGCUGUCCAGAACAGACCAGAAUGUUACAGUCUGCUGGGCAAAUGAUCCAUGGUUUCAGAAUUAGUAUGCAUGCAUUCCACAAUACAUAUUUACCUGGUACUCUGUAACCAUUCAGUAGAACUGUUACAGUCUAGUAAGUAAAUAACGUGUUUUUCAAAAUUAGAAUGUGUACCAAAUAUGUAUUUACCCAAUAGGCUGUAACAGUUCCGAAGAAACCUUCCCUGUUGUUAGUCUAUCAGGCUGACUUAUGGACGUGGGUUUAAUGUUGUUUUGAAUAUGAAUACAGCGUACAGGAAGAUGUGCAGUUUUUAGAAGGGUGAGGGGUUGUCAUGUAGAACAAACCAAUUUUAGGAGGAAAAUUCAAUUUAUUUGCAGAUUCUGUUCCUGCUAUUCUUUUCUUUUUUAAAAAAAUUAUUUUCUCUUUUUUUUCUUUUUUUGCGAGUUUCUGGAAGAUUGCUAAUGACACAGGGUGAAUUUUUAAAUAUUGUAACUUAAUUAUUGGUAACAAUACGGCCUUAUAAGUGAUUAACAGACAUAUUGCUAAACAUGUCUAGGGGUUAGUUUUUUAGUGGUUUAUCUCAUGGCCUUGGAGGCAUCCACAAGGUGGAUUUUGGUGAAUGAUUUUGUGACGAUACCAGCAGCGCUUUGGCUAGUGAGUACCUAUCACUCUGGCCUGGGUAAGUCAAGCAGAAGCUAACCAUAUUCACACCAGCCAUCGAGAUACAUUACCCAGAAACAAAUUUGCUUUCAGGCAUCAAGUUUUCAGUGGGAUAUUACCAAUUUCCAUCAUAACCGAUGUUCAGCUGCUUUUCUACUGACGCUGGUUGUACUGGUAGAGAAUUAGACUCCCUAGUUCAAGAUAGCUCAUGGUUAAGUAACAUCGUAGUCAAGAGUUUGAGGCUCUGGCAUCAGAUGACUUGGACGCCAGCUCUCUGAACUUCUCUCAGUGAUUAAACUCCUUUAAGACCUGAUUACCUCAUCUGUACAAUUCAAGAUUGCCUUAUCUAUACAAUUAGUGAACACUAAUUGUGCAGACGAGGCAAAAGUAGUAUUUGCUUCGUAACAUGCUUGUAAGUGAACUAGUACCCAUUAACUGUGUAUCACUCUUCAGAGCCCAGAUUGAAUAUUUAAUAGGUGUCAUCAACUGUUGUCUAUAAUCACUGAAGAAAUUCAGCUAUACCGGGAUACAGGAGGUAUAUGUACUAGGAUUAGCAAGGGUGAUGCAGUCCGGGUCUCCAAGUAUUUGGUUUGGAAGUAAAUGAAGAGAUGAGGCAUGUAAUUGUGUCUUUCACUAAUAGGUUGUAAGUGGUCAUGCAAGUUUCUAAACCCCUUGCAUGUUCUAAUAAAUACUUCUAGUUGACAAAUGAGAAGGCCGCCAUGAAUCUGCAUCUCUCACUUGGAACCAUGUGAAACAGUGAUUUAUGAAAUGCCCUUUAAAACUCCUCAGAGGUUCAUAUUCUGCACAAGUUGCUUUUUUUCUGUCUAAUUGAGAAAGCUGCUAUAUUUUGAGUCUGCAUAAAUGACUGCAGGCCUUGAUUUUUUUUUUUUUAUUAUUUGCACAGUUGUUACUGUUUCCUUGGGCAGAGAGCCAUAGGGUGAGUCCCAUGACCCUUGCCUGGGUGUGUCCUUCUGUGUGAUGUACCUUCCAUGAAGCUUACCAGUAUGUUUUAUCGUGUGUUCCAUGUCAUGUGCACAGUUAGACUCAGAUGCUGCAGAGGCAGAGGGCUAUGGAGUGUACCUAUUCCUUCAAAGUGCUGUUUCCCCAGACAAUACCUGGUGCAAAAUGAAUACUUCAGUGGUGGUUCUGUUGUCUUCUUUUGUGACUCUGUCCCUCUGAAUUAAUUCUAGUCUGUGGCACUGCAUGACUUCCAAGAGAAUUUUAGCAUCCUGUGCAACAUGCAUGAGAUUUAGAAGCACUGUCUAUUGACCUUCUUUAUGAACAUUUACUGAGAGCUUACUAUGGGCCAGGCACUAUUCUAAGCAUUUCACAUCAUUAUUUCAUAGCAAUCCAUUUAAGUCAAUCUUAAUAAUACCCUUAUUUAUCAGAUGAGAAACUAGGGUCCCUCGUAGAUUAGAUGUAUGUGUUGGAGCUGUGAGUCAAAAAAUGCACUGCAACCCUAGAGCUCAGAGUUCCUAACAUCUAUUCUACCUUGUCUCCCAAGGAAAAUGCUAUGGCCAGGAGUUGGGUAAACAGAUAAAAAGAUGGCUGGGUAUGGUGGCUCACACCUGUGAUUUUAGCAGUUUGCGAGGCCAAGGUGGGCAAAUCCUUUGAGCUCAGGAGUUCACGACCAUUAUGGGCAACUUGGCAAAACCCCAUCUCUACAAAAAUACAAAAAAUUAGCCAAGCGUGGCGGCACACCCCUGUUCUCCCAGCUACUCAGGGGGCUGAGUAGCUGAGGUGGGAGGAUCAGUAGGGUCUGGGAGGUGGAGGUUGCAGUAGGCUGAGACUGCGCCACUGUAAUCCAGCCUGGGCGAUAGAGUAAGAUCCUUUCUCAAAAAAAAAAAAAAAUGUGUGUGUGUGUGUACACACAUAUAUCAUCAAAAAACAAAUGGUAGGUAGGACUUAGAUUUAUUUGAUAUGGUGUGGCUCUGUGUCCCCACACAAAUCUCAUCUUGAAUUGUAAUCCCCAUAAUCCCCCACGUGUUGAGGGAGGGAACUGGUGGGUGGUGGCUGUUCUUGUGCUGGUGAGUUCUCAUGACAUUUGAUGGUUUGAUAAGUGUUGUAACGGUCCCUCCUACACAUGCUCACUUCUCUCCUGCCGCCUUGUGAAGAUGUUGCCUGCUUCCCAUUCCACCAUGAUCGUGAGUUUCCUGAGGCCUCCUUAGCCAUGUGAACUGUGAGUCAAUUAAAUCUCUUUUCUUUAAAAAUUACCCAGGCUCAGGGAAGUUCUUUAUAGCAGUGUAAAAACGGACUAAUAGGUGUCAUGUACAUUUCUGUGAACCAGUCUAAAACUCUGCGUACUAUACAGAAGUCACAUGACAGUGGUUUCCGUAGAUAAUGCUCUGUACCAAGGGAGUUUAGAUCAGAUGCAGUAUGCAAAGAAGUCAGUCUUGUUGAAAUAAACACAACCCUAAAUGGAAUCAUCGUUCUAAUACAGAACCUAGCCCUGUGUUUCAGCAUGGCUGGAAUCCUACGUUUAUAUAAAAGAACUCUCAUGAAAUGAUUACCUGGAUUUUAACUCAGAGUGGAGAAUCUACAAUUAUUAUCACCAAAAAGGUAAGCCCACUGCAGGCAGGAGCAGUUUAAAUAGCACUUCUCCAAAAUGGUCUUUGGAAUACGUAUUCCAGUCCUUCAGUCUUCUUCCAUGAUCUUCUGUCUUUAUGUCCAGCAUCUUACAUAGGCCACCACCACCUUUUGCUGCAAUAUCCUGGUAACUGGCUUCUCUGUCUCCUUUAUUUAAAAUCCCCUCCGAGACGCUCCUUUAGUGCACCUAAAAUGCUCUUUAAGAAAGAAACCUAACCAUGGUACCCCACCUACAAAAGCUCUGUGUUAGCCUUUGGAUACAAUCCCACAUGCAUAACAUGAUUUCAAAGCCUUUCAGGAGGCAGCCCCUGCCUUCUUUACAGGCUCUUUGUUCUCCACUCCACCCACAAUACAGCCACACAUGGCUACAUUCAGUGACCCUGAGUACCUUGCUCUCUCUCACCUCCAGGUCAUUGAAACCGCUGCCUGGAACACUCUCUCCUCAUCUUUGCUUUGCCUGUUCACUUACUCUAUUUGGUGUUCCCUAAAGGAAUACUUAAGGCCAGGUACCUUAUAAAGAAAAAAGGUUUAUUUAUCUCACAGUUUUGCAGAUGGUACAAGAAGCAUGGUACCGGCAUCUGCUGCUGGUGAGUGCUUUAGGCUGCUUCCACUCAUGGUGGAAGGUGAAGGGGAGCUGGUGUGUGCAGAGAUCACAUGGCAAGAGAAGAAGAAAUAAGAGAGAGGGGAGGCACCAGGCUCUUUUCAACAACCAGCUCUCUUGGGAACUAAUAGAGUGAGACUACUCACCCCACUUGCAUGGAAAGCAUGAAUCUAUUCAUGAGAGAGGCACCCCCAUGACCCAAAGACCUCCCAUUAGGUCUGCCUGUCACCGUGGGGAUCGGUCUUCAACGUGAGAUUUGGAGGGGACAAAUGUCUGAACUGCAGCACUCGUGUUGUUUCUGCUUGUUCCCAGCAGGCCAUUUGUAGCCACCCUUCACCUCCACCAACCUUAACCUCAGAAUCACUUCUGGAUGUUCGUGUAGCAUCCAUUGUGGAUUGUUCUAGCCUCCUUAAUUUUCUGUUUUCCACCGAAGUCUGUAAGCUUGCUGAUUCAAAGCUUGAUGAAUAAAAAACUUGUCUGUAAACUUGAAGUCUGUAAGCUUGAUGAAUCAAAAACCAUGAUUGCCUUGCUUACCCUUAUUGUGAACAAAUGAAUGGAUGGAAUGAUGCGGAAACUCUAGAGCAUCAUGUACAGAUGGAAAAUGCUCUGUAGUUUUUAAUAAAAAUAUUUGGCAGUAAUUGGCUGGGCUGCAGUGCAUACAAGGGAAUAUGAUUCAUCUAUAAAAAGAAAUACUGUGUAAAAACAUCGAUAAACCUGGAGGACAUCGUGCUAAGUGAAAUAAGGCAGACACGGAAAGACAAAUUUUGCUUGAUCUCACUUAUAUAUGGAAUCUGAAAAACUGAACUCCUGGAAGCAGAGAGUAGAAAGGUGGUUGGCAGGGGUUAGGAGUGGGAGAAUUGGAGAGAUGCUGGUCAAAAGGUAGAAAAUUUCAGUGAAGAGAUGAACACGUUCUCAGUCUCUUGUUCCCCACAGUGGUGAUGGAUGUGUUAACUAAUUUGAUUGGGAUAAUCAUUACACAAUGCAUACAUAAAUCAUCAUAUUGUACACCUUGAAUCUCUUUAAUCUUUAUUUAAAAUUUUUUUUUAAAUUAAAGCAUUUGCAGCUAGGUGUGGUGCCUCAUGUCUAUAAUCCCAGCACUUUGAGAGGCUGAAGUGGGAGGAUCACUUGAGGUCGAGUUCGAGACCAGCUUGGCCAACAUGGUGAAACCACAUGUGUACUAAAAGUACAUAAAUUAGUUGAGCAUGCUGGUAUACAUGUAUAAUCUUAGCUACUUGGGGGGCUGAGGGAGGAGAAUCUCCUUGGACCUGGGAGGCAGAGAUUGCAGUGAGCAGAAAUUGUGCCAGUGUACUCCAGCCUGGGUGCAGACUCUGUCUCAAAAAAAAAAAAAAAAAAAUUAAAGCAUUUGCAAAAGUGAAGGUAAACUACAGUGAUAACAAAACACUACUCAUUAUAGAAAAGACAUAGUAUAGAUAGUCAGAGACCACCAAAUGUAAAAUGACUUUUUCUUUUAAUUUUUGCUAUAAGCUCCCCUGAUGAAAAGAGGGCUGGAAGCAUUAGCCACUUGCGAGGGUAUCAGUCAGGUUAAGACAAUCUAUGCUGUAGUAACAUGUAACUCCCAAUGUCCAUGGCUUAACAGAACCAUGGUGCUUUGUUUUUGUUUUUUUUUUUUUUUUUCUCAGAUAUUUCUUUCUGUCCAUCCUGGACUGGCUGGAAGUGAUGCUCUAUUUCUUCUAUACACAGAGUCACAGGUUACACCUUUUCUGCAAUUACCAGGACAGAACAAACAGAGUUAAUUGCACACUGGUCCUCCAAGGUGUUAUCCCAAAGUGACGUGUGCCACUGUCGUUCACAUUUCAUUAGCUAAGACAAGACAUUCAGCGGUGCCUAAGUCCAUGUAGGCAAGGACACACAAUCACUUCCUUUGCUCUGAAGGAGAAACAGAAUUUUUUGGAGAAAAGCAACCAAGAUCCACCACCAUGAGAAAAAGAGCCGCAGGUCAGUCUCAACAACAUCGUGGGGAACGGCUAUGCCUAACUGCACUGCGAUUCCAAGUGUGAUCCUGCAGGAGCAAUACCUCUAAGAUGUGUGGUCAUAGUGUCUUCAUUCUCCUCUAUGUCACUUUUAGGAAUUUUCUGGCUAAAGAUAGGGACCUCCAUUUGAUUUUUCUUUUCUUCUCUUCUUAGCCUAGUUUGAAAUGUUGGCUCUCUUAAUCAACAAAGACUUUGUCAUUGAUGCACAGUGAAUGUCCAGUUUCAAACCAUGGGCUACUUACUAAUUCCUUGAGUAUUUGUGGAGACUUCUGUUUGCCAAAAUACUUCUUUAUUUCAUUUCUUGUUAUCUUUAGAAGCCAUUACUGAUAGGUAUUCAUUUUGACCCCUUUAUACACACUGCUCAACUCUGCGUCCUCUGCAGGCAAAAUCAGUAUUCCAUCCCACUCCUCAUCCUUACUGUUUGUGGCACUCUCAUCUAUAUGAGAAACAGGAUCUGUGUUUGACAAGCAUGCUUACCCUUUGCUUACUGUUUUAAUAAAAAUUUCUAUCAGCAUUUUAUCUACAGUAGCAGUCGAGGCACUAUUUGAUAUUGAGAUGCUAGAUUUCAUGGACUUUGAAAUAUUUUCCCCAUAUCUUUUUUUGUCAAGUCUUUGAACAUAGACCACAAAAAAUUGACAUGUUGGAGAUGAAUUUGCAGACUCUGAGUUAACUAAUGACUACCUGUCCCAGUUUAAAUUGUGUUCUAGGAUUGAAACAUUAUAUUACACAGUCAAAUCAUUGAAAUUAAUGGUCAGACUGUUCCAUAACGGAGUUAGUUUCCCGUGAGACUGAUGCUGUAUUAAAUCAGCAGGCUGUCCAGAUCUCCCUGCAUCAUGUUGACCCAGUCUUGGCAAUUUCAAAGUGGUACCUAGUAGUCACACUGUUUUAAAUGGGGAAUGGUGAGAAGCAGCUUCCUAAUCUCCAGCUUUCAGAUACAGUAUCUUGUUUCAUCCCCUUUAUCCUCUGAGGCAAACUAUCAUUGUCCUGAAUGCAGAGAUGGGGAAACUGAGGCAUGAAUGUUACUCUGUGUGCUAAAGAUUAUCCUUUAAGGCUAAGUAGCCUGGGUUUGUUUGGCCUUUCUCUCCCUAGAUCUCUUCUUGGCUGGCAGUUCUCAUGAUUCAGGGCUCUUCUCAGACAUCUCUCAUGAGAGAGGCCUUUCUCGACUUCCAGCCAUGGAGACAGUCACCCUGGUUCUCUGCUCUGUCACGUUCAUAGCACUUAGUAUUAUUUCAUUGUGUUUCUUAUGUGUCCACCUGUUUUCGCUCUCUGUCCACUUGAGUACAAAGGAGAGGACCUUGUCUCUUUGGUUUCAGUGGCACAUCCCAGCACUAUAGCAGUGCCUGGCACCCAGUAGAUGUUCUGAAGUUUCAGUGGAUGGAUGCCCAUUUAUGUACUGUGCUUUUUUUCUCCCUCAGGGCCACAUAAUUGAGUUGCUUCAUGCAAAGCAACAAAUUAAACGUUUAGGGCUUCAUGGACAAACCCCACUACUUUUUUUAAAGAAAUUUAUUUUGGAAACAGGGUCUGUCUGUCACCCUGGCUGGAAUGUGGAGAGAGCACAGUUUGCUACAGCCUUGAACUCCCAGGAUCAAGCAAUCCUCCCUCCUUAGCCUCCUGAAUAGGUGGGACUACAGGCACAUGCCACCACACCAGGCUAAGUGCGGCAUGUGCCUGUAGCCCGACACUAAAUUUUUUUGUUUUGUUUUGAGACAGAGUUUCGCUCUUGUUACCCAGGCUGGAGUGCAAUGGCGCGAUCUCGGCUCACUGCAACCUCCACCUCCUGGGUUCAGACAAUUCUCCCGCCUCAGCCUCCUGAGUAGCUGGGAUUACAGGCACGCACCACCAUGCCCAGCUAAUUUUUUGUAUCUUUAGUAGAGACGGGGUUUCACCAUGCUGACCAGGAUGGUCUCGAUCUCUUGACCUCGUGAUCUACCCGCCUCUCACUCUGUUGGCCAGGCGGGUCUCAGACUUCUAGCCUGAAGUGAUCCACUCUUUAAGAUCUUCAGUAACGCAGCUUUACCGGUAACAACAUGUAUUUUUUUAAUACUGUGCAAGAAAUUACUCCCAACGUUUGCAUUUCAAAACAACAAACUUUUUUUUUUUUCAUCUCAUAGAGUUCCUAAGGUUCAGGAAUUUGGGAGUGGCUUGGCUGGGUGGCUCUAGCUCUGGUUUCCUGGUGAGGUAGUGGCUCAGCCCAUCAGAUGGGGCAGCAGUCAGUGAAGCUUGGAAGUAACGCUUCUAGACUCACUCAUGUGGAUGUUGGCAGGCCUCAGUCCUUCCCACAUGGGCCUCAUAAGCAGCUGCUGGAGUGUCCUGGAGACAUGGCAGAUGGCUCUCCACCAAAGUGAGGUGUGAGACAGAGAGAGAGAAAGCAAAGGGAGAAAGAGGAGACAGAUGGUAAGAUGGAAGCCACAGUCCUUUAUGACCUAACCUCAGCUUGACAUACCGUCACUUCUGCUGUGUUCCAUUGGAACUCUGGUACAGCAUGGGAGGAGAGGGCUCAAAGGCACAAACACUAGAAGGUGGCGAUUAUCUCAGGGCCAUCUUGGGGGCUGAUUCUCAUGUACCUGUUUCCGAUUCUCAGAGCCGUGGAUGGAUCAUGAAACUCUGUAUUCCAGUGGACGUGUCCUGGACAGACCUCUGAGGCGACGUCAGUCCAAUUUUCCUGGCCAGCUGCAAGCUGCAAUUGGGUCAACUACUUGCCGCGUGGAGAAACCUAUUUUCUUGCCGUUGCUGCAGAGGUUUCGUGGGCUGUGUCAACCUUUCUGUUCAUGGUUGCUUUUCUGUGGGAACGCAUCCUGUGAGUACCUUCACAAAAACAGCUUACCCACCAUCCAGAAGUUAGUAUUCUCCCUUUGUUUUCUAGGAAAAACACAAGCCAACCUUCCUGAGUUGUUGGUCAGUCGCUGAAUCCCACGGCUGUUUCGAUAAGUUCUCUUUAAGCAGAUUUUUCAUGUCUUCCCUAUUUAUAUCUUUUCAAAUCCAAUCUACUUCAAUCAGUUUUAAUCCCCUAAUGUGUUUGCUAUAAGUACUGUACAAUUCACUUGUCCUCAAUAAUAAAAUUCAUUUCGGUGCAGCCUGCCGGUAAUUUGUUUGAGAAGAAGUCGUUAGGAAACCCUUGGAUUCUCUUCUGAUUUAGAGGACAACCUUCAGUAUUGAUAGCAUUUUGUUGUCAUGCACUUGAAGUAUUCUUUCACGACUGAGGGUGCUGUUUAAAUAAUGGACUCCACAACCAUGUGCUUAAAUGAAAUCUGACUACACUGAUGUCCUUGCCUAUUAGGAAACUUCAAGUGUUCUGCAAGGACACGAUUUCAUUGACCGUGGAUUUAUAUUUGCAGUUUGUACAAAUUACUGUGGAUGGCUCCCCCUUCACUGUAAAAUACUGUUUUUGAAAAUCAGUGUUUUCAUUGUUUUAUCUCUCAGUGUACCCUGUGUAAGCAAAGGAUUGUGCUCCAGGCCCCUCCUGGAGCAGGUAAAGUAAAAUCGAGUUUUUUCUAUAUGAAAGAUAGAAAAGUAUAGUAUUACUGACUCAGCUUAAUACUGAGUGAAUAUACUCUAAUGAGACUCAGAAGAUAGAAAAGAUGCACUUUGUCUAUACAUAUUAUAGACACACACACACACACACACAUAUAAAAUAUAAUUUAUAUAUGUAUGCUUAAUUGGAAAAAUAAACAUCAAGAGCAUGUUUUAUUGUUUAUCUGUAUCUCUCACUUUUUUAAACAGCCCGUGAAGACAAAGCACCUUUUUAUUUAGACUUGGCUAAAAAUUAUCAGUCAUAUGUAGAUGAUUAUGCAAUAUCUGCCAACUUCCUACUCAGGGAAAGUUAUAGCAGAUGGCGGAAUUUAUGUGCCAUGUGGCAUUUGUUUAAGUGUGGAAAUAGCUAAUAUUUUUUCCUCGAUCAUUAUAACUAUUUUUCUUUUAAAGGGUCAAUUAACUUUGAAAUACCAUUUUUGAUGGGUGCCUCAGUGAAGGGUGGGAUGGGGAGAAUGAAGAGAAAUUUGAAAUCUUGCAGGCCCUUUGAUUGAGUAAGUGUUGUGUAGCUCAUUAAUCAGGGGCUCCAAGCUCCCUGUUUUCAAAAUAGCAUCAUUGUGUCCUAAAUAUAGAUUCCUCUGGAAUUGUUAAGGAGAAGGUCCUAUUGAGAGCAGCAGGCACUAUAGAUUGGUCUUUCAACUACAAAGGACUGGGAUUCACAUUUGCAAGUUUACGGGUCCCCAGGGAGAACAUCUUGGAGUCAGCAUCAUUUCAAGCAUGUAGCGCAUAAUUUGUUUUGAUAACUACAAACAAAAGAGGUCUGCUGAAAGGCUUCUUCAAAAAUUGGCAGGGGCUCUUCCCCUUGAUAAUGGGAGCUGCUGCUCCCAGGGCUGAGGACCUCAGCAUCACAGCAGGCCUGGGAUCUAGUGAGAAGAGCAAGGAAGCUGCAGGAGGUGAUGGAAGGCAGGCAUCUCUCCAGAGAGAGGAGCACAUGCUAACCUUGGGAGCCCCUUCCUAUCAGGAAUCAAUAUCACGCGAGCAUGAUCUAUAGCAGAGACCCAGUGCUUGGAGUAAUUUUUAUGUUGUGUAUGCUUCAAAUGCAUUUUAUUUCCUGACUUGAGACGUUCUACUUAGAUGAAAUAAGAGGCAAGGGGUAUGUGUGCUGGGGUGGUGGAAGACGGAGAGGGGAUUUGAUGGAGAACAUUAAGGACCUAUUGCUUGCCUGUUUUCUAGGAAUCUUUACCCAUAAUCGGCUCAUUACAGAGACUCUUGGGGUUCUCUUGAGGCUGCGGAAGGCGGGCCUCCUGAGAUUGUGUAGAGCGAAGGGAUCGGUCAGGAAAUAUUUAUUACACAGAAGAAAGAGGAAUGCACCGGCAGAGUUCUGGGCCCGCUGCAGCCAUUCAGCAAAUGUUAUUUGAAUGAAUUUAUUUAUAAAAACGGAUAUGUAAAAACAGGAGUCAUUAUCUUGAGAGGUCUGAUUGAGGAUGAUUUUUCUUUUCUUUCUUUCCUACAGCACCCGGUAUUUCCGGGCGGUCUCCCAUCCAAAUACUAACCAGGCCCGACCCUGCUUAGCUUCCGAGAUUUUUCUUUUCUUAGUUUUUGUAACUGUUGGUGAUUGUUGAUUACUUUUCUUACAAUUAGAAUUAUCAUCAUCAUUUUAUAUACAUUUCUCCCUGCCUCUGUUAACAAUAUGGUGAUGGCCUUUCCCAUUUUUAAACCUUUACAUUGCUUGUGUAAGUAUAGUUUCAUUCUGAUAUACAUGCAAUAAUAUAAAGUGCAUUUUUUCUGCAAAUACACACUUAGCAAGCGUUCUGGGGCUCUUUAUUUAGUAGAACCUAAUCUCAUUCUUUCUAAAACGUUACUUGAUAUCCCAUAGUGGGGGUGUAAUAUCAUUGAUUUAAAUAUUUUUUGCCUAUAUUUGAUUUCAUAAUGUAUGUUUUAAAGUGACUCAUCUCUAUCAAAUUCUAUAAGACAUAAAGAAUAAACCCAUGGCACUCCCCAGUUGUCUGAGAUCUAGUUAUGAUGUUUGCACAUUUUCUCCAAUGAGUAUGUGCUGCUUUUAAACCACUAAAGGUUGAAGAAAGUUUUAAAUCUACUUGUAGGAUCAACACUAUGCACGUGAAAAGAAGAAUGUCUAACCUGUAUUGGGCUCUUGUCUAAGAGGCGCUAUAUUAAGCGUGUGUGUAUAUACAAAUAUAGAUAAACUCAUUAGCAUCCUUUCCAUUAUUAAGCGUGCACCAUAGCAUACCAGGCAAGAUUGCUGACUCUUCCCUAGAUGGACAGCUGUGUUUUCACAUCUUCCUGCCUUUCCUUCCAUGGAUGUUUAUUCAAUAUUUACUUACUUAUUUAGUUUGAGAUGGAGUCUUAUUCUGUCACCCAGGCUGGAGUGUAGUGGCACUAUCUUGGCUCACUGCACCUUUUGCCUCCUGGGAUCAAGGAAUUCUUAUGCCUCAGCUUCUCCAGUACCUAGAAUUACAGAUGUGCGCCACCACACCUGGCUAAUUUUUGUGUUUUCCUUUUAGUAGAGACGGGGUUUCGCCAUGUUGGCCAGGCUGGCCUCCAAGUCCUGACCUCAAGCGAUCCACCCAGCUCAGCCUCCCAAAGUGUUGAGAUUACAGGCAUCAGCUGCCAUGCCCGGCUAUCAGUUAAUACUUAUUAAGUGUCUGCUUUGUUCCCGGCACUCUUCCGUGUGCUGAGAAUUUAGCAGUGAACAAAAUAAAUACCAUCCUCCAGGGACCUUGAACUCAAGUCUAGCGGGGGGUCACUCUAUUAAGAGAUCAAGUCGACAUUCAACUCUUACAGACACAGAUAGGAUAGUAUUUCAAUUUCUCCUUGAUCUGCUCCCCGGACACCUAGACCACAGGCACUGUAGAUAGAGACCCGUUAGCAGAGGCUUUCCCAUCGUUUCUGUGUGAAGGGAAGCAGUGCCUUUUCAGUAGAUGACAUUAAAGUAGCCAAUAGACGUGGAUCCUGGUGGGGUGGUCCCGACUGUCACAAACAUUCCUCGUCGAAGUCCGCCAGGAGACACCGUACCGUCCCCUAGAAAGUAAGAAAUAGGGAAGGCGAAGUCUCCCGCUCCGACUGUGUGUCUCUCAGCUCUGAGAAAUUUCUUUUCAGAUGUUACCCUACCCCAGCCUGUCUCUCACUGCUGGGGAGAGUCUGCCGUCCUCUCAGGUGAUAAUCAGGGAGCCUGCUGUCACUUGGGAAAGGCUUUAAAAAUUCAUCUCAUUUGCUGUGAGUGCAUGUCCCUGGUAUUCCUGCCUGUCCUCAUCCAUCUCAUUUUGAUCGUACACACCGUGUGAUUUGGAAAGGAAGUGGUGUUUUUUGGAGGGGGAGGGAAACACUGGAAAACAAGGCUGAUGGUGAUGGUCAUGAGCGCAGGGCUGUUCUGUGCUCUGUGCCAUGCUCAGGGAUGAUGCACCCUCCUGAAAGAAAGGGACACUUGUUAGAGAAGGCAUGGGUGUGAAGUGGGGCUGCGGGAGAGCUGGGAGCCCGAGUGUCACACGCUGCUGUUCACCGCGGGUUGCCUCUGAGCACCAUGGGGAGGCAGUGACACCAGCUGGCCUCACAGUGACACUCCAGCAGCUGUCCUUUUCUCCAGCCUGGAUGUGAUAAGUGCGUCCCGGAGGACAGUUAGAGGAAGACAGGCCAGACACCCCGGCCUCCCUCCUGGGUGCACUCUGACUUAGGCUACGUGGCUUCCAACAGACACCUUCCAUGGGUGCUGAGGCAGCCGGCUUCAUGGUCAGCAAGGCGAUUCCUGUCUCACUUUGCGAAUCUUGUUCCCCUCUCCGGAAUGUUCAAACUCUUUAGCGGGCACAUACAAAUGGUGAGCUGCACACUCAGAAAAACGUGGGUUUCAGUUCCGGCCUCGUGAUACGCUAUUGGUGGGAUCAUGACUAAGUCCCUUCUCUAAGCCUCGGUUUUCUUUUUUAUUUUUAUUAUACUUUGAAUUCUAGGGUACGUGUCUAAAAAGUGCAGGUUUGUUACACAGGUAUACAUGUGCCAUGGUGGCUUGCGGCAUCCCUCACCCCGUCAUCUACAUUAGGUAUUUCUCCUAAUGCUAUCCCUCCCCUGCCUCCCACCCCCCCCCCAACAGGCUCUGGUGUGUGAUGUUCCUCUCCCUGUGUCCAUGAGUUCUCAUUGUUCAACUCCCAUCUAUGGGUGAGAACAUGCAGUGUUUGGUUUUCUGUUCCUCUGUUAGUUUUCUGAGAAUGAUGGUUUCCAGCUUCAUCCAUGUCCCAGCAAAGGACAUGAACUCAUCCUUUGUUAUGGCUGCAUAGUAUUCCAUGGUGUAUAAGUGCCACAUUUUCUUUAUCCAGUCUGUCAUUGAUGGGCAUUUGGGUUGGUUUCGAGCCUUUGCUAUUAUGAACACUGCCACAGUAAACAUACCCAUGCAUGUGUCUUUAUAGUACAGUGAUUUAUAAUCCUUUUGGUACAUACCUAGUAAUGAGAUUGCUGGGUCAAAUGGUAUUUCUAGUUCUAGAUUCUUGAGGAAUUGCCACACUGUCUUCCACAAUGGUUGAACUAAUUUACUCUUUCACCAACAGUGUAAGACCUCAGUUUUCUUAUCUGUAAAGUGGGCUCAAGCAUGUGGUUUGACUGAGAUAACACACAUUCUUUCAUGCCAGUUCUGCCCAGGUCUGUCCAUGGCAACAUGAUAGGAGCUCUCUCCCUGUGUGUCAUUUUUUUCACCAGAGUGAGAAUGCCAUACGAAGCAAUAAAAACAUCCAUCUGGCUGGGCGCAGUGGCUGACACCUGUAAUCCCAGCACUUUGGGAGACUCAGGCAUAUUGAUCACAAGCUUAGGAGUUUGAGACUAGUCUGAGCAACGUGGUAAAACCCCGUUUCUACUAAAAAUACAAAAAUUAGCUGGGUAUCAUGACACAUGCCUGUAAUUCCAGCUACUCAGAAGACUGAGGCAGGAUAAUCUCUUGAACCCAGGAGGUGGAGGUUGCAGUGAGCUGAGAUUGUGCCACUGUACUCCAACCUGGGUGACAAAGUGAGACUCAGUGUCAAAAAAAAAAAAGGCCAGAUGUGGUGGCUGAUGCCUGUAAUCACAGCACUUUGGAAGACUGAGGUGGAGAGAUCACCUGAGGCUGGGGAGUUCAAGACCAGCCUGACCAACUUGGAGAAACCCCGUCUCUACUAAAAAUACAAAAUUAGCCAGGCAUGGUGGCAGAUGCCUGUAAUCCCAGCUACUCCAGAGGCUGAGGCAGGAGAUUCGCUUGAACCAAGGAGGCGGAGGUUGCGGCAAGCUGGGAUUGCACCAUUGAACUCCAGCCUGGGCGACAGAGCAAAACUCCAUUGCAAAAAAAAAAAAAUGUCAUCUGCCAGGGCAGGUGGCUCUCAGUAUAAUAAACAUUUCUGUGUAUAUCUUUUAUUAAGAAAAAGCAACUAGGAAUCACAUCUGGUAGUCUCUUUGAGACAUGGCCUGGGGUCCACCCGCAAUGUGACAGGACAGAAUUCUACACAGUCUUUAAAAUCUGCCUUUAGAAAAAUGCACAGCCUGAUUUUAUGUCUGUGAGUCAUUUUUUGGGGUGUGUCAUACCAUAAUUCUGAUAAAGAUAAUUACAUGCUGGUGUCUACAUGCAGUGAUGUGCUUGAUGAAGUAUAUGCACAUCGUUUGGUCCUUGUGUAUUUAUAUUUUCCUCUAAUUUAAAUGUUCACUAAGUGCUCUCAGCAUUGUUGGUAGAUUAUUGGAAAUUGCGACUUUAAGCAAAAUGACAUGUAACAGAAGAUACUUUACUGUGGGAUGAUUGAUAUAACUUUUCUGGUCAUAAAAACAUCACUGAUCUUGUAAAGACCCAAAACACUUCUAACAUUAAACAUGAAAACACGUGUGAAUCAUAUACACAUUAAAAAAAAUAAAUAAAGAGCUGGGUGUGGUGGCUUAUGCCUGUAAUCCCAGCACUUUGGAAGGCGGAGGUUGGUGGAUCACCUGAGUUUGGGAGUUUGAGUGCAAUCUGGUCAAAAUGGUAAAACCCCGUCUCUACUAAAAGUACAGAAAUUUGCUGGGCACAGUAGCAGAUGCCGGUAAUCCCAGCUACUUGUGAGACUGAGGCAGGGGAAUCACUUGAACCCGGGAGGUAAAAGUUGCAGUGAGCCAAGAUCACACCACUGCACUGGAGCGUGAGAGGCAGAGUGAGACUCCAUUUCAAUAGAAGAAUAAAAAAAUGAAAAGAUGAAUAAAAACAAGCAACAUAAUGAUCUACCCAGUUUUUGAUGAAUCACUGAGUGAUGGUGGCAGUAGGCCUGAUGAGUUACAUAAAAUAUAUAUAUAUAUAUAUAUAUUUUUUUUUUUUUUCAAAGCGUAAAUUGUCAGGAGUACAUCCCCCAUCACAGUACAAAAACAAUGACUAGCACGGCAGGCUCACUGGGCGCUUUCAUAAUGCUUUGUUUCUUGUUGUGCAUUUUUAUGAUUAUCAUCUACUUUAUCCAUUUUUGACAAUCAUGAGUAUUCAUUCUUUCAUUCUGCAUCUGGCUUACUCCAGUUCAGGCUUUCAAGUGGCUGGAUCCUAUUCUAGCAUCUCAGGGCACAAGGUAGGCACCACCCUGGCCAGGAUGUGUGCACACCCACACUCACUCAUGCUGAGAUGUUAUAGACGUGCCAGUUCCCCAAACACAUACAUCUUUGGGAUGUGGGAGGAAACCAGAGCACCUAGAGAAAACCCACACGUACAUGGCGAAGCAUACCAACUCCACACAGACAGUGGACCCAGCUGGGAGUCGAUUUUUUUUUUUUUCUUAACAUUAUAACCAAAUGGUAAAGACCUGCUGUACUCUGAGCUCUUCAUUCUCUGAAGGGUCUUAAAAACUUGAGGACCUCAAAAUGAUAUGGCUCACCCUCCUGGUUUAGGGCUUAGGUACGUUUUUAUUGAGUCCUCUGAAGCUUCUUAGAACCUAAACUGGGAGGAAAUAACAGCUAAUGGGGGAUUGUUCCUAUUUUUGUUGGCAGGGUGAGGGAGGUGGUGGCUGAGCUCAAACCAUAUGGAAGGAUAUUUUAUGUACUAAAACAAAAGAGGCAAUAAUUUUUUACUGCAACAUUAGGGAUUUAUGCUAAAUAAAAGUAAGUUCCCACAAUCCUGGGGGAGGGGCGUUAAGCCAAGGCAAAGAUUUUACAGCUGUUGGGAAAUUGCUUUCUGCAAAUACUAAAAGAUACAGUGCCAAGGUCGCUGGCCAUCUGCUAAUAAUUUAUGUUCCUCUCCCCAGCAAAGAUAAAUAACCAAUCAAGAACUGCCCAUCUAGGGAUACAUUUCCACCCCACCUUUUAUCUAAGCAGCAACCUGUGACUGAAUUCUGCCCAGUGACAGGUGGGAAGAAAUGCAUCUUUCAGGACUGGCCCCCAAAAGCUCUCUCUGGGAUGCUCCAAACUUCUUUUUUCCCCCAUCCUCUGAUGAACACCCACUUGACCUUGUAUGCUACAUGUGAAAAAUGGAGUCUUCAUCAUCUACCUGGGUCCCUGAAUGACUGUGUGGAUCAAGAAGCUCCCCACUCUUCCCUGCUAUGACUGGACUAGCCUCUGUAAUGUGGAGGGUGUCUGUAUUAGCAUCUACACUGCUUAACAUCAUUCUAAUGGAAUACUGCAUAUUUUCAUCAAUGGAGUUUCAACUGAAUGCAAAUAUUUAGAUUUGGGAGCAAUAAUCCUUAAAUUUUGUCAAUAAGAGCUAAUUAAAUAUAAGUACCAAUUCCAAUGCUUAGAACAUUUUAUGUGCUAUCUCUUUUUAUUUUCUUUCCAACUCUCUAGUUUGUAUCAGUCAGGGAACACCAAGUUGUGCUGUAGUAACAAAUAGCUCUGGAAUCUCUGGUAUAACACAAGAAAGAUUUAUUUCUUAUUUAUGAAAGUUCAUUGAGGUGCUGGGACACUUUCCAGAGAAGCUCUUCAGGGUGUAUUGGCUGAUCAUUCACAGUGGUUUUAGUGUUAGGAACCAGCCAUAUCAAUAAGUAGUUUCACAUUGUCCCAGAGGAAUUCCACCUGGAUGUCUUACAGUGGUAGUCAAGUGCUUUGUCCAGAAAGUGACACAUUCUACUUCCACCAAAUCCCAUUGGCCAGAGGUAGUCACAUGGUCUCCUUUUCCCUCCUGUAUCCCUACUAUGUACUCAGAAAAACAAAACAAGACAAAAACAGAUGGUGAAGCAGGAAGAACUAUGUGGAAGGAUAUUUUCUUCAUCAAACAAAAGCAAUGUAAUACAAAUGAGAAGGCUGGGGUUCAGAGAGCUUCAGUCACUUGGACAAGGUUACCCAGUGAGGAAGGCGCAGGUUUUGUAAUGAAGGGUGUCACCCAACAGUGCUUAUUUCAUUGAAGAGUUAUUUCUAAAAUUAAUUUUCUGUGUUAUAGCAUAAAAUAAUGACCUAGUCCUCAACAAUCUUGCAGCUCAAUGUUGCAAACAGUCAAGUAAAAUGAUCAGUUACCUGAAUUCUGACUAGUACUAGACAUCAGAUAGCACUUUACAUAUCAUUACCUUAUGGCUUUUUUUUUUUUUUUCUGAGACGGAGUUUCGCUCUUGUUACCCAGGCUGGAGUGCAAUGGCACAAUCUCAGCUCACUGCAACCUCUGCCUCCUGGGUUCAGGCAAUUCUCCCGCCUCAGCCUCCUGAGUAGCUGGGAUUACAGGCACACACCACCGUGCCCAGCUGAUUUUUUGUAUUUUUAGUAGAGACAGGGUUUCACCAUGUUGACCAGGGUGGUCUCGAUCUCUUGACCUCAUGAUCCACCCGCCUCGGCCUCCCAAAGUGCUGGGAUUACAGGCUUGAGCCACCGCGCCCAGCCUACCUUAUGUCUUAAGUAGUGAUAGGGGAAUGUAAAAAAAAACUUUUGCAUGUCAUCACAAAACACUUUUCUCAAGUGCAUAAGAAUCCUGGCCUAAAAUGGAUCAUCAUGGGAGAGUCUGAGAGCAGGGUAGUGGGAAGGUAGUAAAGGAAUGUCCUUGGGACACAGCAGUGGGUGAAAGUGUGUUGUGAUUCAUGACCUUAUGGAUGGAUGGUGUCCUCUUCCGUUUGUCCUUGGCUGGGUAGUUGAUGGAACACUGAUGUGCUUCUAAGGGUAUUUGGGAGAAAUAAAAAUCCAUGGUAAAAUGAAGCUCUGUUCUUCAUUUCACUCAGCAGAAACAUUCUCUCCUAAACUCCAAACAAUGUGCCCAGUAGGGGAUGUCUGCUAGCGGGGUGUGUGUGUGUGUGUGUGUGUGUGUGUGUGUGUGUGCGGGAGCACUGGAAAAACAGACAUAGGAAGAAAGAGAGAGAAAAACAGGGAGAGAGGAAUCUAGAGAGAGAGAAACAGAGUGAAGGAGAAACAGAAAAUUUUCCAUUUAUUUCAAGUCAGUUCUCUCAAGUUUUAUUAGGAUCAAAGCAAGAUAGAUAAAAAUAUAUUUAUUAAAUAAAAUACAGAUUUUUAAAGUAUAUUUCCUUGUUGCUAAAAAAAAAUUUGCUCAAUGCCUAAGAAUGAUACAAUGGACUUUGGGGACUUGGGGGAAAGGGUGGGAGUGGGGUGAGGGAUAAAAGACUACAAAUUGGGUGCAGUGUACAAAUUAUGGCUCAGAUGAUGGGUGCACCAAAAUACCAGAAAUCACCACUAAAGCACUUAUUCAUGUAACGAAACACCACCUGUUUUCCAAAAACCUAUAAAAAUAUUUUUAAAAAAUUGAAAAAUCUUCGCUCAAAAACGAGUCUAUUGAAAUGAUGCUAUCUUUUCUUCUAUUUUGGUUUUACUUAAAUCUGUUUUAAUGUUUUAUGUCAAACUGUUCAUGCUCAGUCCAGUUUUUGUUUUGUUUUGGUGUUUUUGAGAAAAGGUCUUGCUCUGUUACCCAGGCUGGAGUGUCGUGGUGCAGUUACUGCUCACUGUAGCCUUGACCUCCUGGGCUCGAGCAGCCCUCCCACCUCAGCCUCCUGAGCAGCUGGGGACUGUGUGCGUGCACCACCACACCUGCUGGUAUGGUUUGGCUUUGUGUCUCCGCCCAAAUCCCAUCUUGAAUUGUAGUUCCCAUGAUCCCCAUGUGUCAUAGGGAGAACCUGGUGGACGGUAAUUGAAUCAUCAGAGUGGUUACCUCCACGCUGUUCUCGUGAUCGCCAGUGAGUUCUCCCAAGACUUGAGGGCUUCAUAAGGGGCUUUUCCUCCUUUGCUCUGCUCUGCUCUUUGCUGCUGCUAUGUGAGGAAGAGCCUGUUUGCUUACCCUUCCGCCAUGAUUAGAAGUUUUCUGAGGCCUCCCAUGCCAUGCUAAACGGUAACUCAAUGAUACCUCUUGCAUUUAUAAAUACCACAUCUCAGGUAUAUCUUUAUUAGCAGCAUGGGAACAGACAAAUACACCUUGCUAAUUAAAAAACAAUUUUUUUUUAGAGACAGGGUCUCACUGUGUUGCCCAGGGUGGUCUCAAACUUCUGGCCUCAAGCUCUCCUCUCAUACCAGCGUCCUAAAGUCCUGGGGUUACAGCUGUGAGCCACUGCCUCCAGCCCUCAGUCCUUAGUCCUUUUUAAAGUAGUAUACAGAUACUAUGUAUAGGUUCACGAACCUGUUCAUCUCUUUUUUUUUUUUUUUUCAUUUCUGAGAUGGAGUCUGGCUCUGCCACCCACGUUGAAGUGCUGUGGUGCGAUCUCGGCUCACUGCAACCUGUGCCUCCUGGGUUCAAGCGAUUCACCUGCCUCAGCCUCCCAAGUAGCUGGGAUUACAGGUGCCCACCACUGUUUCCCACUAGUUUUUUUUUUAUUUUUAAUAGAGAUGGGGUUUCACCAUGUUGGCCAGGCUGGUCUCAAAGUCCUGACCUCAUGAACUGCCCACCUCAACCUCCCAAAGUGCUGGGAUUACAGGCAUGAGCUACUGUGCUCUGCCAGACCUGUUUAUCUUUUAAGGGAUUAUUAUCGUUGACUUUUUCCAUCACAAAUUUUGAUUCACCUCAGUGUGCUGAUAACUAUUUCCAGGUAAACUGGAGUCAUAACACAGAUUUGCCAAUUAUCUGGAGAGGAGUACUGCUUCCUAAUUAUGUGGUCAAUGAAGAGCCAGUUGAUCAUUAAGCUACACUGAUAUGCAAAGCCACAAUAAUAAACACCAGGAAAGAUUAAAAGCUCCCUAAGACAUCCCUUAUGGUCUUCUUCAUAAACAUACAAAUAAUGGAAAAAUAAAUACAUGUUUGCUCAAUUCUGCAAAACUAGAAAUGUCACAGGGGGGUGAAUAAUAAUAACCGUAUCGAGGGACCAAUCUUGGAUAGAUUCUUUUGUGGGGUAUAUAAAGUAAACCCAGUCACAAAUCUGCAAGGUUAGAAUCAUUUUUCUCCUUACCAUUCUAGAGAUGACACUAUUUGAGACUCAGAAAACUUCGCUCCCUGGCCCCACACAGCUGAUGCAUCACUGGGGUUUAGAUUCAGGCUCAGAUCUUGUUAUCACAAAGACGAGGACCCUCAAAACAUGCCUAGUCUUAACCGAUGCCUAAAUGGAACUUAAGUUUUCCAGAAAGAGCAGGUAAGCAUUGUCACAGCCCCCUGGAUAUCUCUUUGGGCUUUUCGUUCUUCUUUGCUUUUCCUCCUCCAAAAUCGUAAUUGUAAAGACAAGCUUCUGAAGCAUUUUCAAGAAUAGAUUUUGCUUUCGAUGAAGUGUGUCAAAAAUAAUGUUAUUUUAGGCCAGGCGCUAUGGCUCAUGCCUGUAAUCCUAGUACUUUGGGAGGCCAAGGCAGGAGAUGAAGACCAUCUUGGCCAACAUGGUGAAACCCUGUCUCUGCUAAAAAUACAAAAAUUAGCUGGGUGUGGUGUCACAUACCUAUAAUCCCAGCUACUUGGGAGGCUGAAGCAUGAGAAUUGCUUGAACCUGUGAGGUGGAAGUUGCAGUGAGCUGAGAUCACACCACUGCACUCCAGCCUAGCAACAGAGUGAGACUCUCCAAUAAUAACAAUUGAUUUUAGAAGAAUGGCAUAAAUAUUUCUCCAACAUCAUUUUCUUUUCCCUUCUCCAUUUUCCCUGCUGUGCCUGUUGAGUUAUCCCUAUACAGUUGAAGGGACAGGUAGGUCUGUGUGGGCAGACCAGAGUCUAAUGAGUUCCUAUACCAUGCCCAUCCCUAAUGAAGCCUCCUCAAGUAGGAUUUCCUGAGAGCGAGGGAAGCUUCCCCUUUGGUCUGGCUACUUCAAAAUUUAUAUCCUACACAGAGUUUCGUCUCUUUGCUUUUGUGGUGAUCCCCGUAAAGCACAAACCCAGCACCCUUGCUUCCUCUACAUUGGAGAUGGUGGUUAUUUGAUUGAGUCUUUAAAAAUUCUUUAUUGUGGUGGUUUUGCUCUUGGCGGCUGGUAUGGGGUUCCUUCCCCCAGCCGUGUUGACUGCUUUGGGAAACAAGUCUCACUCUUUACCAUGCAGACCUCUGCCCUGGGCUCUGAUGGUCUAGCUGAGGUGAAGCAAUCCAUGGGUGAGUGCUGACUGGCAAUGGUCCCUUCCUGUGCAGAAGGCAGAGUUCGAUCUCAUUUCAGUAAUGCUGCCUCUCUAUGAAAAUACUCCAUGACCUUCUCAGAAACAGGUGAUCUGUUGAUUCCCCAGGCUGCUUAGGGGGCUUCCCUCGUGGGUCCUGCUUGGCUUCUUAAUGAGGGACUCAGAGCUGUGUUCAUGGAGGUAGGUCACCUGGAAGUAGAGGCAGGUUUGACUGGGGACUCAAGCUUCGUGAAAUUGGAUGUGUGUCCCAGAUUCUUAGCUUUGGUGUUAUGUCCCUCAAGGAAGCCAGUGAGGUUAUAUGUCAAAGAGAAUCAGAGACAUUUCAACAUUUCAGGGUUUUCUUUUGCCCUAGAUAUUCAUAUAAACCAAUCAUUAUCAAACCGGGGUAUUUCCCCCCCACCAAAGGAUACUGGCAAUCUUGAAAGGAUGCCACCAGGAUUUAAUGGGGGAAGCCAGGGAUGCUGUCCUGCGAGGCACAGACCAGCUCUCUUCCCCUCAGCAAAGAAUUAUUUGUUUCUAAGUUUCAAUAGCAGGGAGGCUGAGAAAGCUGAUUUAAGCCAUAUUAAAAUGUACCCCAUUUUAAUAUAUAACACAAUUUUUUGAUAGUAAAAGUUUCAAAAGAAUUAUCACUUUGCUAUUGAAGUGAACUAACUCUUAAUAGCUCAUUGAAUUUAUGAUUAGCUACUGUUUCUCAGUAAUCAUUGCCUAAACUUGAAAAUUAUUAUGAGAGAAAAAUAAUGGACAACUUGUCUUCCAAUAUAAUAAAAUAUUUAUUAACACUAAAUUUAACAAUUAAUGAUGCUGACAUAAUGUUGCGUUUUGGAGAAAUAAAUUAAGCAGUUAUUAAUUUUGUCUUUGCUCCUUGAAAUGUUAGAGCCACUAUUAUUUUUUUAUUUUCAAAUAUUACUAGGUGCCCUUGGACCUCAAAGGCCCUAACACUGCAUAUGGAGUCAGGUGCAUAAAAUACCCUUGAAUCUAUUAAUUCUGGACCUCCGCAAUCAAAGGUUAAAUUCAUUUUAAAUACUUAAAUGAUGACAUCAGAGAUCAAAGAGGUCGAACAAUAAAAUCGGGAUUUAGUCUUUUUUUCUCUCUUUUCUCUUUUCCUUCACCAUUUCUCUUUUCUCACUCCAUUUCUUAUCUUCUUCCUCUCCUGUCCACUGCUCCCUUCCUUUCUCUUCAUUCCUCCCCUCCCUUUCCCACCCCUUCCCUAGCCUCCCCUCCCCACUCCUUUUUGAAAUGUUACUGUUCAUUUCAAUGAAAACUGAACUGAGCUUCAGUUGCCGCUGGUUCUCUAAGCCACAGUUCUGUUUACUGGUUUUUGUUUUUGCAGUUUCUCUCUCCUCCCGUCCUGAUUUCUCCUUUCCUUGAAUCUAUUAAUUCUGGACCUCACUCUCCUCUCUUGUCUCUUGCUCUGUGUGUCUCCCUCUCACCCUCACCUCACCCCUCUCUUUGGAGUUGAUUCCACUCUCAGGUUAGUGUUCCCCAUAAGGAAGAGGAUGGAUAGUAUCGGAGCCAGGUGUGUCCACUCAGAAAACCAGCUGGAAGACAGAGAUCUUAUUUCCUGAUUGCUUCAGUGAAAGUCCCGGGAGUAGUUCUAAUGGGUCCUAGAAUAAAUAAAUCACUGUGGUCAGGGGCACGGGGCACUGAUUGACCAGUUUGGAACACAUGUGCAGCUUCAGGACUGGGCACUACCUUUCCCUGUACCACCUGGUCUGAGAGAGGGACACGGAUGGGUUGCAGAGCAAUGGACCCGCUGGUGGCAAAGUCGAGAAAUGAUAGGCGGCACCAACAAAUGCCCCUCACACAACCACAGUGUUAAGUUUUGGGGGAACAUCUCACGCUAGCCCCGUGUAUGAACAGUGCUCAGUCAAUGGAGGAAAUAACUAGAACUUUAUUAGCUUCCAUUUUUACGUUUUAUUGCUUCCCUCCAAGUAAUUGGGAUUGGGGAGAGCAUCUUGUUACCUGUCUUCUUUUUAAUUGGAUUCUCUCCAUUCUCUGUGACUCUUAGUUCUUCGCUUUCUGGCUGGUUUUGUCAAGGUAACUAGGUAUUUUAAAUCACAGUGCAAUUUCUUGUAGCUCAGAAAACUGAACUGAAGUAGUAACUUUUAAUAGGUCAAUUACAUUAUUUUUCCGCAGCCUGCUGCAGCCGAAUGAAACUGCAGUUUAAUUAGGUUGGCGUGAUGCCAAAAUAAAUGUUUCAUCCCCAGCUUGUUUUAUUUACUCAUUGAAAAGUAGGGGAAUCUACAAAUAAUAGGAUUGGAAGAUGUUAGGAACUAAUCAGUUCGGCUGCACUUGUCUGUAAAGAAAGACGAUCGUAUCCUCAUCGGUCCAGUUUGGUAGCUGACAAAACUGCAGAACAAAUAAACAACAACAACAACCGUGGUUUUGUUUAAAACUCAACAAUGUAGAAGGUUCUUUUAACAAAAAAAAAAGUCAACUGCAAAUACUGAAAGGCCAUUCAGAAAGGAACAGAACUCAGAGUCCCCUAAUGUAUUCUGUGUUCCUAAUGUGUGGUAAGCAUUGUCCCUGGCGUAAUUAUAUCUGUUUUUCUCGGUAAACCAAAGAGAACUCUUGUGAGAUGAAGGUUGACGGCCCAGCAAAGGUGGCGCUGUGAGUGUGAACAAACCACACUGUCAUCAUUUGGAGGUCAGUGAGUUAGGAACAGGAAAAGAAGAGAACAGCAGAAAAGCUGUGUUUUAUUUCCCUUCCUUUUUUUUUUUGAGACAUAGUCUUGCUCUGUCAUCCAGGCUGCAGUGCCCUAGCACCACCUCAGCUCACUGCAACCUCUGCCUCCUGGGUUCAAGCAAUUCUCUUGCCUCAGCCUCCUGAGUUGCUGGGAUUACAAGCCUACACCACCACACCAGCAUAUUUUUUUGUAUUAUUAGCACAGAAGGGGUUUUGUCAUGUUUCCAGGCUGGUCUUGAAUUUCUUUCCUCAAGUGAUUCACCUGUUGUGGCCUCUCAAAGUGCUGGGAUUACAGGCAUGAGCCACUGUGCCCAGCCUGUGUUAACAGUUAAAACACAGUACCCCGGAAUGACCCCUAGCUACUUCCAGUCCUUGCGCCCUCAGCCAGAAGAUGGGAAUUGCCACCCACCCAGGCAGGGUCAGCCUGGCACCGAUCACUGAGGGAUUGAGACGAUGUUAGAUAGUUUUGCCAGCACCCUCCAGCCGAUGUCUCAUACUGAGCUGUAGUUUCAACAGAAAAUGAGGAUGUCUGGUCAUGUUCUCUCUCUCUCUCAUGUUCUCUCUCUGGUCAUGUUCAACACAGAUUAGGAAUCUGUAUUAAAAACCAGUGCCAACUUCUUUUCCUCUUGUUAAGAUAAUGGGAAUCAGCCUCAAGGAUUCUCAACCAGCAAUGCAGACAAGCCGGAUUUCCAGGCAAAGAGACAGCUGGUCAGGGCUUUGCAGGUGUCACUUUUUCUCUGAGAUACAGAGAGGCUGGCCUCUGUGCGCUUUAAUAAUACACAAUGCUUAGAACUUUCAUCUCUUCCAGUCUCAUACAAAGAAAAAAAUGAUUCCAAGGCAGUGCCAGCAAUUCUAAUGUCCUCCAGGCUAUUUUUCCAAAAAUGAUGCCUUAAUAGAUAACCAUUAUGUUAGAGAAGAGGAAACCUUUAUUGUCAUGUAUGUGUGAAAUAAGAGGUACACUUGCAGGGCAAUCAUGAAGCUUUGUAAUCACACAUUUCUGGUGUGAGGAGGUGCUGUUACGGUCUCAAAAGAUUUGGAACCAUCCCUUCUUGCCUUUUACUUCAACUGUAUUUUCAGUUUUAAUUCUAAGGUUGACUUGCAUUCUUGGUCCCUUUUGAAUAGAACCAUAGAUCCCCCAUGUUACAUUCAAAAGAAAUGUUGCAAGUGCCAUUUUUCAUCUUGACAUGUUUUGCAAGGUCUUUGCCUCUGUGACUUUGAGAUCUGUUUAAUUCCCGCAUUGGGCUGUGUGGGGUUCUUGCACUCUUGUGGUGGUGCUGUGUUGUUGGUUAGAUCAAGAACAGAGUCUUUCUGCAUGAGAAUAAUGCAGUAAACAAUCGUGAAUGCUCAGAAUGAUAAUUGUUUGUUCUGUAAUCAUGCAUCUGUUUGCUGCAGAGCAAAGGGGGUAAAACACAUGUCCUUGGCUGGCCAUCACAGCAAAACUCAUUUAGUUUUUUUCUUCUUCUUCCUCUCCUGCUCUGAUCCUUUGGAUAAAGAUCUGUGCAUUGAAAUGCAUAGUUUUAAGGACAUUCUGUAAAGUGGGUAUGCGUGAGUUUUGUAGAAGUGUCAUUUAGGAGCAAUCAUACACAAUUCUUUCUGCAGUAAUUCAAGUGUGUCCAGACAGCAGUUUGAAACUUUUAAAACAGUGAAGUACAUGUUCCCCUAAGUGAAAUAAUAUAUACCACAAUGUGUAAAACAGGUAUUAGCUGUAUUUCAUUUCAUACUAAAGUCAUGCUUAAUUUGAAAUGCAUCACAUUUGCUUACAAACCUAUCAUCAGAAGCAAUGUUGGUUAGGAUUAAUUCAGAGGUUUAGAAUCUGGAGGUCCGGGUGGCACCCAUAAGCAGUGGUUUCUGUGUUCAGACUACACAGUAUUGAGAAAAUCCCAAUUUGCUCAGAUAGGUAGAUGUGAGAACCAGCAGUUUCUUUCUUUCUUCUUUGUUUUUUUUUUUUUUUUUUUUGAGACGGAGUUUCGUUCUUGUUACCCAGGCUGGAGUGCAAUGGCGCAAUCUCGGCUCACCGCAACCUCCGCCUCCUGGGUUCAGGCAAUUCUCCUGCCUCAGCCUCCUGAGUAGCUGGGAUUACAGGCAUGUGCCACCAUGCCCAGCUAAUUUUUUGUAUUUUUAGUAGAGAUGGGGUUUCACCAUGUUGACCAGGAUGGUCUCGAUCUCUUGACCUUGUGAUCCACCCGCCUCGGCCUCCCAAAGUGCUGGGAUUACAGGCGUAAGCCACUGCACCCGGCCUCAGCAGUUUCUUUCAACUACCCAUGUUGCAACCUCAGAGUAUUCUACAUUGUGGAUAGAUGGUGGAAGAAACACUCAUUCCUAAGAUACCUACAAAAUGAGCAAAGCCAGCAGCAUACACAGACCCAGUAGUAAUCUAUCUCCAGUGUGUCUCAAUUGUGCGCAUCCGAUAUUUGUGACUUUCUUUUGUUCUAUUAAUCAGAGAUCUUUUCAGUGGCAAGUGCCGUGUACCGGACUUGAAUGGGGUUAAGGAAGAAAAAGUAUUGUCUCAUGUGAUUGAAACACCUACGUAUAUAGCUGGUUUGGGACAAAGCUGAAUCAAACUGGUCAGAUGAUGUUGCCAGGAAUACUUCUUCCCACAUUACACACUCUGGUACACCACAUAUUUUCAGGCUGUUCCCUUAACAUGGCCAGAUGGGUUCCAGCAGGGAUAAGCUUACAUCCUUCCAGCUCAGGAGACUGACGGCAAAGAGAACCUUCUUUUUAGUGAUUCAGGGUAAGUCCUGGCCAGACCUCAGUUGUUCACCCAUCCUGAGAAGCAGGGUUUGUAUUAACUGCACUAUUACCAUAUAAACUGAUUGCAGGAAGGGCAAAGAUUUCAUCAACGAGUCUUUUAAAAACUUAACAAUAAAAGGUUGACUGAUUAAAAAUUGUGUGUAAGUAUUAUGGAAAACAUGAUGUUUUGAAAUAUAUAUGUAUAGUGGAAUGUUAAAUUGAGUUUAAAUAGGUCAAAUUAAUACAUGCAUUAUGUCACCUAUUUAUUGUAUGUGUGUGUUGAGAACACUUAAAAUCGAUUUUCUUAGCAAUUUCCUAGUAUAUAAUACCUUAUUACUAACUGUACUUACCAUGAUGUACAAUAGAUCUCUUGAUUUCGUUCCUCUUAUCUAACUGUCAUUAUCCUUUGACUAAUAUCCCCCCAACUCCCCUCUCUCCCCACUGGUAACAACCAUUCUGUUCUCUGCAUCUGUGGGUUCGAGUCUUUUUUUUUGAGACGGAGUUUCGCUCUUGUUACCCCGGCUGGAGUGCAAUGGCGCAAUCUCUGCUCACCGCAACCUCCGCCUCCUGGGUUCAGGCAGUUCUCCUGCCUCAGCCUCCUAUGUGUAACAUUUUAAAAUCGGGACUUAUUUGAUUAUUUCCUUGUAGCUCAUUUAAAUUCAGCAUUUUGUGGAGAGUAGUACCCAGGCCAUGCUGACCGUCUCACUGCCCCCUUAGCUGAGGGCACUUCAUGUCCGUCUGUCCCAUUAUUUGUGGCAGCAAAUUUGGUCACUGGGUAACUGACAGAUUUCCCCAGUAUAAACUAGCCUGGUACUUAGGGAAUCCCCUGUGGGUCUGUACUUUGAUACUACCUAAGUAUCCUUUUUCCAUCAUCCUUUCCGCAUGGAGGACCCUUGUCAGAAUUGGUUAUUACACUGAUAGUAGUGAAAUCGUGCUUUUCUAAUUUUAUUCCACCUACUUUUUUUUAAAAAAAAAGAAAAAUUAAACUAAAUAUUGGCUGUACCAACUUUAGCAGAAUACCACUGCCAGAAAAGAAACUAUUUUGAAACUAUUUGGCAAAAGCAACAGAACUCUCUAACCAUCCAUUGGGUUCUAUUUGCCUGCUGCCUAGACAGAGCUGAUUUAUCAAGACGGGGAAGUUACAAUAGAAAAAAAGGUUUAAUUCACUCAGAGCCAGCUGUAUGGGAGACCAGAGUGUUAUUAUCACUCAAAUCCGUCUCCCGGAAAACUCAGGGAUUUUUUUUUUUUUUUGGUGGUUGUUUUUCUGAGCAGAGUCUUGCUCUGUCGCCCAGGCUGGAGUACAGUGGUUUGAUCUCGGCUCAUUGCAACCUCCACCUCCCAGGUUCAAGCGAUUCUCUGGCCUCAGCCUCCUGAGUAGCUGGGAUCACAGGUGUGCACCACCAUGCCCAAUUAUUAUCAUUUAAUUUUUAGUAGAGACCUGGUUUCACCGUGUUCCUCAAGCUGGUCUCAAACUCCUGACCUCGUGAUCUGCCUGCAUCAACCUCCCAGAGUGCUGGAAUUACUGGCAUGAGCCACCAUGCCCAGCAGGGAUUGGGGUUUUUAGGGAUUGUUGGGUGGGCAGAGGGUCAGAAAGCAGGAGUGCUGACUGGCCAGGUCAGAGAUGAAAUUGUAGGGAGUCCAAGUUGUCCUCUUGCACCGAGUCAGUUCCUGGGUGGGGGCCACAUGACCAGAUGAGCCAGUUGAUCGAUAUGAAUGGUGCCAGCUAAUCCAUCAAGUGCAGAGUCUGUAGGUUUUACAAUAGUGAUCUUAUCCCAGGAGCAAUUUGAGGAGGUUCAAAAUCUUGCAGCUCGUAGCUGCUUGACUCCUAAACCAUAAUUUCUAAUCUUAUAGCUGAUCUGUUAGUCCUGCAAAGGCAGUCUAGUUCCCAGGCACAAAGGGAGCUUGUUUUGGGAAAGGACUCCUCUCAUCUUUGUUUCAGAGUUAAACUAUAAACUAUAAAAUUCCUUCCAAAGUUAUUUCAGCCUAUGCCCAGAAGUGAACAAGGACAGCUUGGAGGUUAGAAGCAAGAUGGAGCCAGCUAGGUCUUAUCUGUCUUUCGCUGUUAACAUUUUCUCAGUUAUAAUUUUUACAAAGGUAGUUUCAGCUCCACCCAUAGCUACUUCAUGGACUUGAAGGAAAAAAAUCCAUAAUGUCCGAGAUUUCAAGUCAUUCCUCUUCUGAUAGAAAGCCUAAGCAGUAGCUCUAAGACUUGGUUGGGGAUCCAAAGGUAGAAAAGAGAAGGAAAGAGAAAAAAGGUAAUUGAAACAGUGACAAUUGAGAGAAGAGCGAUAGCGUUUUACGUGCAUUGCUGUUUUUUCAGCGUUAAAUACCCAGAAUGGAGUUCGGAGAACUUUUAUGUUCGCCUGGCAUAUUUAAAUUCUCCUUGUUUAGAAUUUCAAGAGCUACACUUUUCUUUGAUCCAGUUCGAUUAUCUUCCAUGAUCCUCAGAAAUUGUACUUUUCUCCCCCUUUCAGACUCAGAAAGUCCUUAGCCAAAUGGCCCCAACCAUUGGAUCUGCCUGUAGGUGUCAUUCAUUUUUGUUGUUCUUCCCCACCUCCCUGGGGUUUUUCAAUAGUGCUUCCUUUCAGUCAAAAGCUAAUUUUCUUCGUGUGUGUAGGUGGUAUAGAAUUCCAUGCUUUUACACAGUAGCAGGCCUGUAUUUGAUGUACCUGGUUCAGAGACAAUUGUCCUUUAUAGCUUUCAGGAGUAAAUUCAAUGAAAGCCCCAUGCGACUAGUUUGUAACUCAUUUAGUGAGAGUUCUACAGGAUUAUUUCACAAAGCAGUUCUCAGCUUAAGAAGCUAAAUUGGCUUUAUGGUGCCUAGCUGGAGGCCUCUUCGUCCCUGCAUUCAGAGGAUAUUUACAUGUGUACUAGGAAUCUUUCUAGAAAAUGGGAGGAGGGUGCAUAUCGACAUACAUUCCCUCAACUUCCUCUUAGCUACUCCUGAAGGGUGUUGGGUGGGUGUUUGAGAAUUAGGGAGACUGUUUUGUUUCCUAAUGCAGGGACAGCUGUGUUAUAUCGGCAAGUGUGUCUGACAUGCCAAGAAUUGUACAGUUCUAUGGAAUGAGCGCUAAAAUAGAGCAUGCAUUUGCACCUUCAGGUUAGUACAGUGGCUGUGAUGGGAGACUUUAGAGUCACACUGCCUGAGUCCCAGUGCUGGACUACACCUUGGGAAGUUACACAACCUCUCUGAGCUUGGUUUUGGCACCUGCAAGAUGUGGGCAAGUAUAAUUGUGGGCUGGGCAGGAUAGCCCAUGUGAAAUAUUAAGUGCUGUGAUAAUUCUCAGAUUUCUUUGUCAAAGAGUCAGCACACUGUAUAUGAGACAAUAAAUGCCUUUGUUAUCAAAAAAUCUGGCCAGGCAUGGUGGCUCAUGCCUGUAAGCUCAGCCCUUUGGGAGGCCAAGGAGGGCAGAUCUCUUGAGGCCAGGAGUUCAGGACCAGCCUGGCCAAUGUGGUGAAACCCCAUCUCUACUAAAAAUAGGUAUUUUUUCAAAGUUAGCCUGUAUGGUGGUUCAUGUUUGUAGUCCCAGCUGCUUGGGAGGCUGAGGCAUGAGAAUCACUAGACCCUGGGAGGUGAGGGUUGCAGUGAGCUGAGAUUGUACUGCUGCACUCCAGGCUUGGUGACAUAAAGGGAGAAAGAAAAACCUUUGUGUUACACAUAUUAUGCAGAGCUCCUUCUAGGAAGGACAGCAGGGCAACCCCUGCCCGAAUUCCUGGUGGAGGUGGGAGAGUAGGCCAUGCAGGCACUGUGAGUGACGCAGUCAUUUUUGUGAGAUGGUGGAGACUGCUUUUCAUCAGUAGCUCUCUGUCUUAGUCCUAUCUGUUGUGACACAGGCCAACUCGUGACUUCUGCUUUUUCUGCCGCUUAGUUUCUGUCCUAAUUUGUACUAUUAUAUUUAAUUUGAAAAUUGCCCAUAAAACAGCAUCUGCAUUUGUAAAUGAAGGAGCUGCAUUUUAAAUGCACUAACAAAGCUCACUUUUUAAAACAAGAUUAACAUCUUUCACACCAAGGAACCCCUUGGAAAAAAUUGGGGAAAGGACAGCAGAAAGCACCUUUUCUUUGUGAACUGAAUUUUUAUUUUUGGAACUGGCUUCACAGAAGAGAGAGAUGUUAACUAAUACUUGCUGGAUGUCUACUAUGCGCUGUAUGACUCCUAUUAUUUAGUCAUAUAGUUGUGAAUAUGAAACUGAACAGUUUUAGACUUUUGUGUGCAUGAAAGUAGGGAUUUGGACAGUUAAAGGCACAUCCUCCAAUGUCAGGGUAGGAAGACUGAGUAAAUCUGAAUUUCACAUGCAUCUCUCCAACGUCUUUUCUUUCUGGAACUCCUUUAGCAUCUCUGAAGUAUUUCAAUUUAGGAAAAUUGAAAGAAUAAUAACCACCAGAUAUUAGACUUUCUUUUGUGUGAUAGUAGGCAAUAAGUUGGACAUUGCAUACAUAUUAAUUAUAAUCUCCCUCCAUGAUGAGUAUUAUCUGAAGCUGUACAUUUCUUCUAUUUUCUCUUAGCUAUCCCCACAGGGUCUUUGGAUAGGUGCUUCAUAAUUAAGGAGAAUAUUUUGUUUCCUAAUACAGAAACAACAAUGUCAUAUUGGUGUGUGUAAGAAUUAUACAAUCCUAAGAAAUGACCGUCAAUAAAAUAGACUGUGCAUUUGCCAUUUAGGCUGGGAUAGUAAGACGGGAAACGUUGCAGUCAGACCAAUUGAGUCCAAAUACUGGCUCUCAUUGUAAUAGCUUUCUUUGCUCUGAGAAGUUAUACAUGUGGGGAAACAGGCUCUGCUACCAAGUGAUGAAAUUUGCAUCUGUUUAGUUCUGAAGCUCAUAGUCCCCUGAGAAAGAUCAUGUGUAUGUGCACCCACCUGUGUGUAGACAUGCACAGAGCUUCACAGGUAGCUGAAGUAGGGUUUAUUCUGUAGUGGGCAAAUAUUUCCUGGACAUUAAAAUAGUGCAUUCCCAUUCUACUCACCAAGGCAAGUCACUGAUGAGCUGUUCUUCCUCAAGGGUUUCCUGAGCAUCUGAUUAUACAUAGAGAGUAGAGAUCAAGAGAUCAUCCUCCUCAGUAUACCCAUCUCUCUCUGCCCUACUGGCUCUCAUGUAUUCCCUAAAACGUGUUGCUCAAUACAGGAUGUACAUUUACCAGGUGUUACUAUUAUCAGUUCAGACACUGAAAGGAAGGGUUCAAAUAAUGCAGAAUCACAGAGAAAAAAAUCAAAAAGAUCCACCUUUUCUUAACAGCUUCCUGAUGCCUCAAAAGGAAAAUAUUCGUUUGGUGAUCACUUCUUUUUGAUGACAUUUGCCAGUUUUCCUUGUACUAGAGGCAGAAUUGAGCCUCAGGCUGACAGUGGGAUCCAGCUAGAAUCAAGGAACAUGGCUUUGCUUUGGUUCUAUUUGUUUCUGUAGGUACCGUCUCUUCAUGAUGACAUUCCUGGUUUCCAGUUUAUGGUGGUAAGGGGAGUGCCCUCUUCAUGUGUUUUUCAAUAUUUAAUUUAUGCAAAUAAAAUGGCGAAUUGCUUGAAAGAAGGAAGAUUUUAUUUCUUCUUUAUUUUACAGAGGCAUGCCAUUCAGUAGCACUGGAACAGAGAGGAAGAGUAAUUGGAUGGCAGAAAGGCAGGUCACAUUAGCAUAUGUCAGAUUUUAAAUGAGGACUGCAGAGAUGGCAAUACUGGGAAGGUGCUCUGUGAAUGACAGAAAUUGAGGAAGGGUGUUUAAAGUGCUUGUCUCAUUGCCUAGUGAUUGACCGGCAUUGUAGACUCCAUCCCAUCCCACUGCUUUUGUCCAAUUUGGUGUUUAGGAUUAGUCAUGCACGUGGAAGAUUCCAGCCUCCCUCCUCCCAAUGUUACAGCUUGGGCUGAAUAUUCAUUAACUACCAGGGAAACAUCAUACUGUUUGAGGACACUUGAGUUGGUCUGUAUCCACAAAACGUGUUCUCAUCGUGAUGAAGCAGAGGAACAAUUCAUAAGGAACGACAGGAGCUUAGCAAGAAUAUAUAGGGGGAAAUCCUUUGUUGAGUGAGAGCAUGAAGUGCCCAGGAAGGUGCCUCCAGGAUUCGAAGAAGGAAACAAGACGUUCAGAUUUGAAAAGACCUGUCUAGACAACCAUACUUCCUAUGACCUUGGGAAGCCUACAAGAUCACACAUUUAACCUAUUUUAACAAUUUUAUGAGAAAAACAAGAAUGUACAUACCAUUGUGAAUGGUGGCUGACUUUCAGUUUUAAAUUGAGAUACAAAAGGGGGUGGUGGAGUCUGCGGCAAACUCGGCGAUGAAUGGCCCCGGAGGCUGCCCAGCUCUCACAGACUGUUUAUGUGUAGGAAUCUGACUCUGAUUUUCCAAGAGAAGUCAGGAAUCUAGGUUUUUAAUAUAAAGACUUCUGUUUUUCCAUUAUGGGCACCUAGUUUAUUAUUUAAACUGCUUGGGCCAACACCAGAGGGCUAGGACUGCUAAAUAAGUGUAUUCAGGUUGUGCACUGCACAACUCAAGGGUAUGCAUCUUUGUACUUUUUUUUGGAAAUGUUUUAAUUGAGGUUCACAUACUACAUGGUAUGCAUAUGCCACAGAAUUCACCUGUUUAAACUGAAUGCUUCAGUGGUUUUUAAUAUAUUCACAGAGUUUGGCAAUCAUCAACACACCAUCAACACAUUCUAAAUUUAGCAUAUUUUUAUUGCUCCGGAAAGACACCUUGUUCCCAUUAGUACUCACACCCUGUGCACCCUCUCCACACCCUCUAGCCCUGCACCACUAGCAUUCUGCUCUGUCUCUGUGGAUUUCCUCUUCUGGCUAUGUCAUAUAAAUUGAAUCGUACAGUACGUGGACAUUUGCAUCUGGCUUCUUUCACUGAGCAUAAUGUUUUCAAGGGCCAUCCGUGUUGCAGCAUGCGUCAAAAUUUAAUUCAUCUUUUGUAGACAAAUAAAAUUCUGUUCUAUGAAUAUACCACAUUGUGUUUGUCCAUUCACUGGUUGACAAACAUUUGGUUGUUGCCACUUUUUAUCCGUUAUGAACAUUGAUUUACAAGUUUUUCUGUGUACUUAUGCUUUUAUUUCUCUUGGAUAUAUACCUAGAAGUGGGAUUUCUGGGUUAUAUGAACUCUGCAUUUAACAUUUUGAGGAACUUCCAAACUGUUUUCCAAAGUGGGUGUGCCAUUUUACAUUCCCACCAGCAAUGUGUGUGGCUUCCACCUCGUCCACAUCUUCACCAGUACUUGUUGUUAUGUCUCUUUCACCGUCGCCAUUCUAAUGGGUGUGAAGUAAUAGCUCAUUGUGGAUUUCACUUGCAUUUCCCUCAUGAUUACUGGCAUUAAGCAUCUUUUUAAUGUUCUUCUUGGACAUUUGUUGUAUCUUCUUUGCACAAAUGCCUAUGAAGCUACCUUGCCAAUUUUUAAAACAGGGCUAUUUGUCUUUUUAUUAAGUUUUAUUAUUGGAGACUUUUUAUUAAGUGUUAUAUGAGGGUUUUAAUGGAACUUUUUACGUUUUGUGUAAGGAUUCUAUAUUCUGAGUAGAACUUUUAAAAUCACAUAUAUGAUUUGAAAAUAUUCUGUUCCAGUCUUUGGAUUGCCUUUUUACUUUUUAUAUGGAUUGUCAGUAGCACAAUUUUAAAAAAUUGGUACAGUCCAAUUUAGUUUUUACUGUUUUUUCUUUUGGUGUCAUUUUUUUAGAAUCUGUUUUUCACCCCAAGUUCGCAAAGGUUUACUCCUGUUCCCCCCGCCCCCAGGAGUUGUAUAGUAUUAGCUCUAAUGUUUAGGUCUAUGAUUCAUUUUGAGUUGACUUUUGCAUGUGGUGAGAUAAGGGUUUUUGCAUUUAUAUCUUUGCCUGUGGAUGUCCAGUUAUCCCAGCAACAUUCAUUAAAAAUUAUAUUCUUUUCUCACUGAAUCGACUAGGAACUUCAUACUGACUUAGACCCUGGGGUACAUCAUUGCAGUUGUUUACUUGUGUAAUGUAAAUAUGUGAAUGCAUAUUAAUUGUCCUAACUAGGAAAAAAUUAACUGCCGAAGCAGGGUCCUACUCCUGUGUUCCUUCCGCUUUUACUUUCUGCAUCUACAUCAACUCUGUGAUAAGAGAUGGGUAGGGCAGGUGCAGUGGCUCACGCCUGUCAGUCCAGUAAUUUGGUAGACUGAGGCGGGUGGAUCACUUGAGGUCAGGAGUUCAAGACCAGCUUGGCCAACAUAGUGAAACUCCAUCUCUACUAAAAAUAUAAAAACAAACAAGCAAACAAACAAAAAAUAGCUGGGUGUGGUGGUGGGUACCUGUAAUCCAGCUGCUUGGGAGGCCGAGGCAGGAGAAUCACUUGAAUCUGGGAGAUAAAGGUUGCAAUGAGCCGAGAUUGCACCACUGAACUCCAGUGUGGGUGACAUAGUGAGACUCUGUCUCAAAAUAAAAUAAAAAAGAUAGGUAACUAUUAAUGAGAAUAGAACUUCAGAGUAAAGGCUAAGUUGAAGUAUAGUGUCUUUUGAAUUGUAUGUCUUAGCUGGGCUGUAAGCAAAGCCCUUCUUCCUUCUUGCAUAUAUGCACAUGAACACCGGCACACAAUACACACAUGUCCCUGGGAGGAGUAAGUCAUUUACAGUUGAGAACAGCUGAUAGUUAUAUAUAGUGAUAUACAGAGAUAACGAAAUAGCUAAAGAUGUCAAUAUACACACCCAUGAUACAUUCAUAUACGCACAGAUUUUAGCUUUAAGUUAAACCUGGGAAGCCCCUGGUUUCUGCCACUAGCACAGUCUUCUGAAUGAAUGAGCUCUCAGGAGGGGAGCUUAUUGGAAAGCUUUCUUAUCAACCUGGUAAAGAUUUUAUUUUCUUGCCCCCUUCAGUGGCUGUUUGUCACCCUGACUGCAACUAGAAUUGCUGUGUUCUGUUCUUUUUCUGGAGAAAUUACAAAAGGAAUUGAUAAAAUUCUGCAUAAAAUGUAACCUAGCAAAUUCUAUGAAUUAUUAAGUACAGUUCUCUAAUCUUCAUGCCUAAUCUCCAGCAUCCAAGGAGGUAGAGAAGUAGUUGAGGGUAUUCAUCUAGACUUUGUUUGGUGGUAAUGUGUGCCAGUUGUAUAUCCCAAAGCCAUCUGAACCCCCUUUCCUUUCCCUGCCUCCAUUAUUCAUCUAGAUAAGCCAGAUCUUCAAUAUCCUAGCCUUUAAAACCAGGUACCAAAGGUGGGCAGGAUUUUCUUGCGAUUUAAAAGGACUGAGCCACAUCAGCAGCCACCUUUUGCUGUACUGAUCAUGACCUGUGCCUUGCCGUUGGGUGUGGUGGUGAUGCUUGGAGCCGCCAUGACUAUCUCGUGAGAAUCCUCAGAACACUUACUUGGCUAAAGAUGGUGGAACAGAAAGUGGAAGGCUCUUGGUCCUUAGUAACAUCAGGGAGUUGCUCAGAAAGCCCAGGGCUGCCCUUUAUUCUGGCAUUCUUAAGACAAAAUGAGUAUCUUUACGGCUAUAGUCACUUUGAACAGAUUUGGUUUUCCGCUACUUGUGGCAGAAGGCAUCCUUACAGAUGUGCCUGUACACAUACAGCUGUGUCCACAUCCACAUCUUCACACACGCAUCCGUUUCCUCUAUGCAGGAUAUGCAUUCAUAAACAUGUAGGGGUUUUUAAAUGUGAUCAGACACUACAUAGUUUCUAACUUGUCUUUUCUUCGUUCCAGUAUGUAAUUAAGACAUCCUUUCUUGUCAGGGUCGAAAAUUCUUAUUUACUAUUUUAAAAGACUGUGUUAUUUUAUGUAUUUGUUUAUUUUUUUAGAUGGAGUCUCAUUCUAGGCUAGAACGCAGUGGUGUGAUCCCGGCUCACUGCAACUUCUGUUUUUCCAGUUUCAAGCAAUUCUCCUGCCUCAGCCUCCUGAGUAGCUGGGACUACAGGCACACACCACCACGCCCAGCUAAUUUUUCUUUUUUUAUUUGUAGUAGAGAUCGGGUUUCACCAUGUUGGCCAGGAUGGUCUCGAUCUCUUGACCUCAUGAUCUGCCCGCCUCCACCUCCCAAAGUGCUGGGAUUACAGACGUGAGCCACCACCCCUGGCCAAGACUGCAUGUUAUUUUACAUUACAUUUGAACUUGAUUUGUUUAACCACUCUCCUAUUACCAGAUGUUUAGGUAGAUGUGAAUUGAUCAUCCAGUCCACAGUAAAACUGCAACCAAUAUUAUAAAACCAAUGUUCUUGCCGUCUCCCAGUAAUUUUCUUAAUCAAUCUGUAGAAAAUAAAGAGUAGUUCAGACAGUUAUAUACAAAGGUGAUUAUUCCGAUAAUUAGCAUAAUAGAGAAACAUGAGAAACGCCUUAAAAGUUCAUUAUAAAAGGACUUGUAGUUUAUUAUCUACAUAUGAUAAACAGCAUGCUACCAUUCAAAAUGGCUUUUAAGAAUAUGUAAUGGCAAAUGAAAAAUUUCACAAAGACAUAAAGCCAAAAAACUACUAAGUAUGAUCAUAUGAAUUAAAAAUAUAUUUAUAGUAUGUAAGGUGAAAAUUGACAAGAUAUGUCUCACAGUGUGUAAACAGCUGUUUUCUCUGGGAGGUGAGAAGAUUAAUGUUUUUAGAUUAAAAAAAAAAAAGUACUAGUCAUUAUGUUCCAAAUCAUCUGACAUGGUCAUUUGGCAUUAUCCAUGUCCUUGUAACAAAUUUUUCUCUUCUAACCCAAAUGUCUCUACUGUUCUCAUCUUAAGACAUGUCACAAAUCAUUAUCCAGAACAUGGGUGUUGAUAACGGCACUGUUCUUGGGGUUUUGCAUAACUUUAAGUAAAGCAAAACCACAUUUCUGGAUCCAUUUUAAAUUUUCAAUCAGCCAGGGCUCCUCUAACGGUUGCGUGUGUUGGGGAAAAUGUGACGUGGUAUGGUAAUAAGUCUCUUGCUUGGGAGUUAAAGUACUCUGGUAAAAUACACGAUAUAUCUCAGAACACUUUGCUUAACUAAGAAGAACAAGGAGACUCCAGAAAAAUACUAAAUGACACAACUGAAGGGCUUAAACACUUACAAGAGAGUCUUGUGGUUAGGAACUUAACUUCUCAAGCCAGUAACAGAACUCCUACCAUUUCUUACUUGCAGACACUUGAUUUUCCCCUGUGUAAAUAGGGCUAAGCAUUUUAUUGCUUUAUGAGUGUCACUAGUACUCUUCACAGCUGUGUGGCAGAGUGGGUCAGCACUGCUGCUGUGGGGACGGACUUCCCCACCACUCUGGUUCCCAGCCCAGUGCUCACCAUCUAGCUAUGCAAUCUUGAGCAGGUGCAUUUAACUUAAUGCAGCCCUCAGUUCUGCAUUAACAGAGGCAAUUAACAAGCGCACUUAGCUUAGAGCUGUGAGCAUUAAAUGAGCUAACAUUUGUUAGUCAACUACAGCAGCACUCUGCACGUAGUCAAUGUCCUGUCAUUGGUACAAAGUGUUAACCCACAAUCAACAGCGCAUUGAACACAGUCCGUAGGUCUCAGUGAGUGUAUAUAACGCACUAUUCUAUCGCCAUCUUCCCCCACAAAGCCCAGGUAACUGCAGAGGACAUCUGGGUGGCGUUGCUGGGACUGGAAUACAUAGAAGAAGAGGGUUAGAAAUGCAUUCAUGAGCACUUCAGUCCCAUUUUACUCACUCCCCUUAGAGGACCCAUCAUCCAAGUUAGUAGGACACCUAGACUCAGAUAUUUAUUAUUUUGUGUCCUCUCAAAGACAUAUUUUUCCUUGAAAUUAACUGUGGUGCUGAUGAACACGACAUGCACCAGACAGAAUCCUGGGGGCUUUUGUUCUCCCUUCUCCCCUACCUGUUUCUCUCUCCUCCCUCGUCCCCCUCCUGCACAACAUUGAGCUCCAGCUGAGCCACUGUCAGGAGGCUGCUCUGCUAAGCAGGCUGUCACAUGUUCUGUUACAAUCAUGUUUUAUUAUAGCUUUCAAAAGAUGACCUCUUAUUCUGCACACUCGUGUUUAUAGAGGACUUCUGGCAUUCUGAAAGGAACCAGAUAGCAGAGUCUCCAAACCCUUUAUUUGCUUCAGCUGAUAACUGCUCUGGCCAGAGACGAAUGCUGUGGUGAUUAUAAGAUGUAAUUUACUACAAAAGACAGUUAAUAUUACUUACAAACCUGUCAUCAGUUCUGGGGAAAUCAGAGCCGAAAUAACGGACGGGACACAUCUGAAUCCACCUAAAUAUCUUGGCCUGAUAGAAUUACAAGUUUAUAGAUUUACCAUUUAGGAAACAAACCCGUUAUGAAACAUUCGUCCUCGCAGACAGACAAUAUAAGUAACAAGCAAGAUUACAUCCUUUUAUGUGGAUCAAGGACAUAGUCAACUUAAGAAAGAAAGAGAAAAAAAAAAUCCCUUAAGGUGAACAUAAAUGCUGCCCUUGUGAAUUAUAACUGGGGAAUUAGAUCUAUGAAAAAGCCUCUAAUAUGGCUAAACAAAGUCCCUCAGGUGAUACUCUGAGUCAGAAAAGUGUGAGAAAAUAUAGCCUCUUAAAUGUGAUUAUAGUCAGAGCUGCAGUUACUCCCCGAGAAAGGACAGAGAAGGUAGAGGAAUGAAAGAAAAGAAAAUGUUAGAAAACUUUUUGUGUCAGACCAGAAAUGAGAGCGUAGCAACAGCUUAGGGAUUGAAGUAACCCGUUUAGCUCAGUUCUGAAGUCUUUGUGCUUUAAAUUGAAGAACAGAAAGGAAUUAGAUAUCCAACUUAGGAUGUAUUUUUUUAAGAUUAUGAAAUGGAAGAGUCUGUUUUUGCUGAAUGAUAAACUGAGCCAGCAUAGAAUUCCGACUGGGGUUAUAAUUUGAAAGAUAUGGCUCUAGUAUUUAAGCUUCUUACACGCUCCCCUCUCACAUGAACUUUCAUUAAAGUUUCUCUCUGCUUGGUUAUAUUUAAUGGAAAUGAAGGUGAGCGUGUCGGUGCUUUUGUUGGUAUUAUGGCCAGAUUCCAAGAGAGUCAUAAAAUCAGUGUUUGCCAUUUACCUCUCCUCUAACAGAAAUUUUAGGAGAACUCUACAUAGAAGAAGCUGUACCGGCAUAAGGAUCCUGGAACAUUCUACUCGUGGUUUUGCAAGCACCCUAUGCCUAGAGUUAGCGCUGGUUAAAGGCUGUAAAAGGAUCAUGGUUCCUCCAAUCUAUCCCCAAUCCGGUCCUUGGUACCACCUCACUCGGGAACUCUCAUACACAUAUUGAAAGCACUUAGAAGAGGCAAGAUCUCUAGGAGAGACCUCAUCUUAAGUCAUUCUCCCAAGUAUAUUUGUUGAGAACAAGGACAAGGAAGGAGAAAAGAUGGAGCUGAGUUUGACCCAAGCAAAUAGGACCUUGCUCAGCCGACCAGCUCUGCCCCAUGGAAUUGAAGAGGAUGUUAAAGAGAGGGCUUAGAGCUUGAAGAGGAUUUUAUUUAUUUAUUUAUUUUUUGAGAUGGAGUUUUGCUCUUGAUACCCAGGCUGGAGUGCAAUGGCACGAUCUCAGCUCACCGCAACCUCCGCCUCCUGGGUUCAGGCAAUUCUCCUGCCUCAGCCUCCCGAGUAGCUGGGAUUACAGGCACGCGCCACCAUGCCCAGCUAAUUUUUUGUAUUUUUAGUAGAGACGGGGUUUCACCAUGUUGACCAGGAUGGUCUCGAUCUCUUGACCUCGUGAUCCGCCCGCCUCGGCCUCCCAAAGUGCUGUGAUUACAGGUGUGAGCCACCGCGCCCGGCCCUGAAGAGGAUUUUAAAAAGAGGAGUUAGGCCGGGCGCGGUGGCUCAAGCCUGUAAUCCCAGCACUUUGGGAGGCCGAGGCGGGUGGAUCACGAGGUCGGCAGAUCGAGACCAUCCUGGUCAACAUGGUGAAACCCCGUCUCUACUAAAAAUUACAAAAAAAUUAGCUGGGCAUGGUGGCGCGUGCCUGUAGUCCCAGCUACUCGGGAGGCUGAGGCAGGAGAAUUGCCUGAACCCAGGAGGCGGAGGUUGCGGUGAGCCGAGAUCGCGCCAUUGCACUCCAGCCUGGGUAACAAGAGCGAAACUCCGUCUCAAAAAAAAAAAAAAAAAAAAAAAAAAAAGAGGAGUUAGAGCCAUGGUUUGUGCAUUUUAAAGCACAGUGGCCUUGACUAAAGUCAAAUCAUUAACUCAGACCCCAUUUGGGUAAAUAAGUCUUCUCUCUUACCAGGUAGGAUGGGAGAUCAAGGAAGGAAGUGCCUAGAAGCAGCUUGGCGGGAGAAGAAGAAAAGCCUUCCAUUUCUCUCCUUUCCCGCCAUUAUUCAUGUAUCCCCUAAGUUGUUCAUUGCCCAUUUUUCUAUCUUCUUUGGAGAAAUGUCUGUUCAAACCCUUUGCUCAUUUUUUUUAGUUGGUUUGUUGCUCGUUGUUGCUACUGUUGAAUUUUAGGAGUUAUUUAUAUGUUCUGGGUGUUGAUCCAUGAUCACGUAGAUGAUUGGCAAAUAUUCUUUCCCAUUCUGUGGGUCGCCUUUUCACUCUUUUAAUUGUAUCUUUUGAUAUGCAGAAGUUUUCCGUUUUGAUAAAGUCUCAUUUAUUCUUUUUGCUUUUUGUUGUCUGUACUUUUUGUCCUCACUGUUUACAAGGAAAACAGCGAACUGUUUAUUUGUCUGAGUAGAGGAUGCUCUCUCUAGAGCAAGAAGGGAAGGAGGUGAAUCUCAUGACUCAGUGGUUAAUCCUCCAGCUAGAAGGAGAGAGGAAUCAGUCUGUGCUGAAACCCCAACUGCUGACCUCCAAGAUGUCCUGGUGUUCUUACAGAAAGGCCACCUGCAGGACAGGGAUGUGUGUGCUGCUGGGAGGCCAGGCAGGGACUCCUGGGAAAGCCUCUUCCUGGCUCCAGUUCCAUUUGGCUCAUCUCCAAGGUGGCCAGGUACUCACUGAUGCAUGGACAGCUCAUAUGUUCAUCUGUGAAUCAUGUCCAGACUCAAGAUGAGCUGGAAGUGCAAUUUUUUCCUUCCACUUGCUGUUGUUUCGCUUCUGUGUGUUCCUCUUGCUAUCAUUUAGCACCUAGAAAAAUGUAGACUUCAAGAACAAAAAGACAGCUGACGCUCACCCCCCAUUAUUACAUGCAAAUAAAAUUACUGAGACCUGGAGUGCUUAACGCUUGCCCAGAUUCCUGUCACUGAUAAAACUAAAGCUGGAGAUUGGGAAUCCUGACUUGAGCCGCUGCUCUCACCAUCCUUUUCUAUCAUCAGGGCCCCCAGGGAAAAAGAAGUUUCACAAUUAUAUUAAAUUCAGUAAGUAUUUACUAUCAUUGUCUACUCUUUAUUCUAGUAGCGAAGAGCUAAAAGUUGCAAAUGGAAACUGAUCAUCCCCAUUGUGGUCUUAGCUGAAUUAUUCUUUGCAUGAUCUAAAGAGAGGCCACAGAAAGAUCUGAAUGGCAGCAUUCCUUAGGAACAAGAUUCAACCAACUCACUGGUCUCAGAGCCAAGAAUAUGGCAGAACUCAGUGGUCUAAAUGGGAGACCGGCCCCAGGAAAAUGCAACCCACAUUGCGGGAGCUUCUGUUUGUUUGUUUUUUCCAUUAGAACCUGGAAAUCCGAGUCUUGCCGGAAAUAGCUCAAUUUUUACAGCUUAAGGAUUUAAAUGAAUCUUUUCCUUAAAAUUUAACAUAAAGGCCACCAUCUUCUGCACAAAACAAAAAUCUGUUUGUGUUAUCAAAACGGACUGUUGAUUUAAGCACCUUGCUUUUGCCUUAGAUCAGAGCCCUCAAACACAUUGGAAUCAUCUGGAGAGCUUUACGAUACACCCAUGCAUUGGCCCCACUCCAGACCACAUGAUUCUGAGCCUCUUAGGGUAGGUUCUGGGCAGGAGGACUUGAGAAAGCGCCCUCGGUAACCCCCGUGGGCACCCAGGGGUUAUGUACCACCAGGCUGACAGUGGUGUGAGCAGUGAGGAUCCAGCCCCAACCCCCUUCUUUCCCAUGGCUAAGGACAUCCGGACCGUGAUUGCUGGACAUCAGGAAGACCUUGAGAUUAGGGUUAACAUCUGGAAAAUUGGCUGCCCUUUUUAUUUCUCGUCCUGCUGUUUGGGCAUUUUAUAGACACAGACAGAUGUCCCUGUGACCCCGUUUGCCAUGAGUCACUUCUGUAGAGUUUUGAUCCCACGCUUUGUGAUACAUCACAGCUCCGGGGAGAAGGGGCUGUCCAGUGAAGUGUGUCUGUGGCUUCUUCCCUCUGAUCUCCUUUUCUUCUCCCAGCCUUGGGAGUUCUGCAGGCAAAUGUGGUCCUUUCAUGUGGCUACUUUGGUCUUUGGGGGACUUUGAAGGUUUGUCUUUGAAACACCGAGAUCCCUUUUUGGUUUCUUCCUUUUUCCCUGGUCUGCUUCUCUCCACUCCUCUUGCUGUUUGCAUAAUCCCUUCACCUUUGCAGGCCAGCUUUUCAGAGUUACUGGGAUCAACCCAGCAAUUCGUACUGGGGGUAAAAAAGGUGUGGACAGGGAGCCUCUGUUUUGGUGGGGGGAAAAACAAACUCCAUAAAUCUUAUUGUUGAUCUUCUUACAUGUGAUAAUAGCAUUUUCCUAUUUUUUAAAUUGAUUUUUUUUUUUUUGAGACAGUGUCUUGCUCUGUUGCCAGGCUGGAGUGCAAUGGCACAGUCUUGGCUCACUGCAACCUCUACCUCCCAGGUUCAAGCAAUUCUCCUGCCUUGGCCUCAUGAGUAGCUGGGACUGCAGGUACACACCACCACAUCUGGCUAAUUUUUGUAUUCUUUUUUUCUUUAGAGAAGGGGUUUCACCUUAUUGGCCAGGAUGGUCUUGAUCUCUUGACCUCAUGAUCCGCCCACUUCAGCCUCCCUAAAGGCUGGGAUUACAGGCGUGAGAUGCCACACCUGGCUAAAUUUAAUUUUUUUAAGAGAUGAGUGUCUUGCUUUGUUGCCUCAAUGGGACUUUAAUUCUUGGACUCAAGUGAUCUUCCCAUGUCGGCCUCCUGAGUAGCUGUGCAUUCUUGUUCUGUAACAAAGUGUCCAUAAUUUCCAGUGGCACAAUUGGAUUAUAAAGUAAAGCUUAAAUGAUAGGAACUCUGGAGUUGCUUACAAUAUUUUCGAAAGUAAAUGAUCACCCGCCUUUGGGAGGCCGAGGUGGGUGGAUCACGAGGUCAAUAGAUCAAGACCAUCCUGGUCAAUAUAGUGAAACCCCGUCUCUACUAAAAAUACAAAAAAUUAGCUGGGCAUGGAGGCACACGCCUCAGGAGGCUGAGGCAGGAGAAUUGCCUGAACCCAGGAGGCGGAGGUUGCGGUGAGCUGAGAUGGUGCCAUUGCACUCCAGCCUGGGUAACAAGAGCGAAACUCCGUCUCAAAAAAAAAAAAAAAAGUAAAUGAAUAGAUAAAUAGCAACUUAAAGCAAUUGUAGUAAGCUCUUCAUUACUGAGUAUAUAGGACCCAUUAUAUAAUAUGUUCUACUUUUGUGCAUAUUGAAACUUUAUGUGUACACAUACGCACAUACACAUGUAAUUCUGAGGCCUAUAAUAUUCUACUGUUCAAUAGGAAUAUGUGAUUUCAAGAUUCUAUGAUUCUUUCUUUCUUACAAAUCCACUAGUGCUUGAGAUUGGUGUAACUGAAUGAAUAGAUGACUCUGUCAAAAGUAAAUGAGGUUGGGCCCUGGUGGCACAUACCUGUCAUCUCAGCAGUUUGAGAGGCUGAGGAGGCAGAUUACUUGAGCCCAGAACUUGAGACCAGUUUAGGCAACAUGGCAAAACCCCAUCACUACCAAAAGAAGUAAAAUUAUAUCUAUAUCUAUAUCUAUAGGUAGAGAGAAAGAGAGUGUGUGUGUGUAUAUAUGUAAAUGUACAUACACAGGCACGUUGUGUGUAUUUACCUACAUACACACACUCAGAUUAGCUGGGAAUGGUGGUAUACCCUUGUAGCCCCACCUGCUUAGGAAGCUGAGGUUGGAGUGUCGCUUAAGCUCCAGAAGUCGAGGCUAUGGUGAAAUGUGUUCAAACCACUGCACUAUAGCCUGGGUGACAGAGCAAUACCCUGUCUCAAAAUACAAUAAAACAAUUUAUAAUUCAUAAUAAAACCAAUUUUAUAAUAAUGCAUAAUUUAUAGUGAAAUUUAUAAUAAAACUAGUACAUACAAUUUAUAAUUUACAGUAAAGCCAAUACAUACAAUUAGGAAAAGCAAAAACAGACCACAUGCCAUCUCAGUUCCACUCAAUGACUUAGCAUGUCAGCUUUCACAGUUAUCUUUCUGGCAUUUGUCUUAUUGCUGUACCUAUCGUUUGGAGUUUUGCUUUAUUUGUUUAUGAUAUUAUCAGGCACAGACUGUGAACUGUAUCUUGCUUUGUGGCAAUAUUAGCUUUCUGGCUGCUUUGAAUUCAUGGUCUUAAUAAGCCUCAAAGAGGGAAAUCAGAAGUGAUAGCAUUUUGCCCAAAUAGAAGCGUCCAGCGGAUUUGUCAUCAGCGUGAUUGGAAUGAAUCUCUCAUUUUUGCUUGCGCUGCUGCUUCGUAUAUAGUCACUUCAAGUAAAGGGUGAAAAGUUAGUACUCAUUCACUGUUCAGGAAAUAUUUCUGGGAUGUCGGCUCCCUGUGAGCCUCUGGGCAGAGCACAGACGCUAUGGCAGUAACAGGAGACUAUAGUCCUUGUGUUCAUGGAGCUUACAUUCAGAUGGACAUUGCAUUAUGAAACAACACAUGGGAAGCUAUACUUGAAAUAUACGUCUUGGCUGGACACGGUGGUUCACACCUGUCAUCCCAGCACUUCAGGAGUCUGAGGCGGGUGGAUCACUUGAGGUCAGGAGUUCAAGAUCAGCCUGGCCAACAUGGUGAAACCCCGUCUCUAACAAAAUCACAAAAAUUAGCUGGAUAUGGUGGUGGGUGCCUGUAGUCCCAGCUACUUGGGAGGCUGAGACAGGAGAAUCACUUCAAACCAGGAGGCAGAGGUUGCAGUGAGCUAGGAUCACACUACUAUAUUCCAGCCUGGGCAACAGAGCAAGGCUCCAUCUCAAAAAAGAAAAAAAAAAAAAAAAAGAAAUAUACAUCUUCAAAUGCUGAAUGUAUUUACA
Callithrix jacchus (white-tufted-ear marmoset) is the source of this 73968-nucleotide long non-coding RNA. RefSeq lists it as uncharacterized. NCBI's taxonomy places the organism in Eukaryota, Metazoa, Chordata, Mammalia, Primates, Cebidae. The record is from RefSeq and is a predicted model, not a curated record.